This 70563-nucleotide long non-coding RNA is filed under the name Triticum aestivum (bread wheat). RNAcentral's name for it is "long non-coding RNA (TAES_LNC028368)". The record is from RNAcentral. Lineage: Eukaryota; Viridiplantae; Streptophyta; Magnoliopsida; Poales; Poaceae.
UAACUGAUGCGCCUUGAAUUUCAUCUGUUCGUCCUUUGUGCAUGUACGUAGUACUCCACUACAAGUAAAUAAAUGAGUCGUGUGGUUUGAUCGUCAGGCAUGCAGUUCAUCCUGACUAAUAAUAUUUGCUAUCACUAGCAAAUAAAAAUGUGAUUACUCUUCUAGAAUGUUGUAAUGGAUGAUUUGUUUCUGUCCUCUGCCCGUCUGCGUCCAGUCCAUUGGUUGAUUUCGAGAGCACGCUUUUUUUCUUUGAAAAUGAGGAUGACCCCCGGCCUGUGCAUCACGGCGAUGCAUGCAACCAUUUUAUUAAUUAUUUAUAAAGACCUUACAAAGUAAUACAUCAAUAAAUGUGAAGUCAUUGUCUUGGCAAUAUAUGUCGCCACUCCUAUCCACUUGGUGAAGGGGUGCAGAUUGUCAGGGCGUAUACCCAUACCUCACUCCAAAGCCUAACAUCUAAAACCGAAGGCCCCAACCAAGCCGAAUUGUCGGGCCUGGGUUACACGCCGGUCCGGCGCACUCUCAUCAUGCACCGCAUGCGCAUGCUGCAGAGGCCGUCGCCACCGUCUUCCACCGAUCCAUCUUCAGAGCAGGUACUGACGCAUUGACCUUGCUAGGCAUGCCGUUGAAACCACCACGACGCAAGACGACGCCACCUCCCUAUGCGCGUCCAUCAUCCCACAUCCGUCACCGAGACCCUACUGCACCAUGCCGUUGAGACUCCACAUCGUCGACGCGUCACCUGAAACGCCACUCUACCGCAGAAACCUUCCCCUGUUCCCUCGAGACAAUGCACACCUCCAAGAAUGACAGUCCCAGGGGUGGGGGGGCACAAGAGCGUCGUCGCCAUCCAAUCGGCUGAUUUAGGGUUCCCCCAGAGGUAGAGGAUAGAAGUAUGGUGCUUCUCCAUGGCAGUGCCUUCCAAAAGUGGACGCCACAGAAGAGUGUUGCCAUCGCCGGCCUUGGCAACUAGCCAAGAGCAAGGUUUUCACCCAGAUCUUCUCGACGGACUUCCAUCUAGCAAUGUGUGCAUGGGCCGCCACAGACCUUUGUCGCCGCGCAACAUGCAUGGCGCACCGGCAAGAUCAGAUCUGACCGGAGGACAGACCAUGCAUGCCGCCGACCUAUCCACCAGGGCCUCCACACCGUCGCCGCUGACCGCAUCCAUCGCUGCCACUUGAGACAGGGUCUGCCGCCGACCGCAUCCAUCACUGUCGCCUGAGAAAGGGUCUGCCGUCGACUGUAGCCAUCGUCGCCAAGGCCCAAUCGGUCGCGCCUCCUCACGUUGAGGGGCCCCACACCACCCCUAUGACGUGGGAGAGAGGGAGUCCCCCGCCAGCACGUCGGUGACUCAUUCUAGCGGCAGCAGUGGUCGUUUGGCCGUAUCGAAUCUCGAUGUAAUUUUUAUUAUGUUUAAGAUGCUUAAUACUUUCGUUGAAAUUUCAUAAUAGAUCUGAUCUUUUUAGGAAAAGGUAGCCAUUGCACCGUCUUUUUUUUGCGAAAUGGAUAUUAAGUUUUGAGUACUCUUAAGUUUCACAUGCCCUUACAAACACAAACAUACAGAAAAAUAAAAUUAUAUUACAAAUUCUUGGGUCGUGCCUAAGUCUUCUUCUUUAUGCAUCCACUGGUGACGUACCAUGAGCAUAGCCUGAUGGAGCCUCUGGGCCUCCGUCUUGACGGAGCAAACUUUUGUAGACCCAGGAGCUUGUAGACGCAGCGGCCGGAAGUCGUAGAUGCAGACCAUGAGACAUAGACUACAGCGAUCUGCGAAGCAAGUCACCACCCCAUAGAAGAAAACGCUGAUAAGGGCCCCUAAAAACUCUAAAGACCACGAACGCUGGCCGAAUCAAGAUGAAUCCACCAAAAACCUAUACCGACCAGAUGCAAUAAGACCCAUCGAAUGCACGACUCCACAUGCCCUCAACAUGUGAUAAACAUACCAAUGGAGGAGAAAGAGAGCGAGCAGAACAUGUGAUAAGCAUACCGAUGUGAUAAGCAUGACGAGCACCAUCCGAUGAAGACUGCCACUCGAGCACACCAUCUCCUUCGUCCAUCCCAUCGCAACCCUCCAACACCUCCAAAAGUAGGCCGCCCCCUGAUAAGGACCUCCCCGCCGCUAUCAGUGUCGCACGGGCUUUGCUCGGUACGUGCCCUGGUGGCAACGAGAGGUGAAGUAGAUGCGAUGGCGCCCAUGGUUCGAAUAGCCCGUGACGGUGUCCCGGCUAUGGGUCUCUCACCACGUCGUCUCCCGGCCUGGUGGGCCGGGCCGAGGACCAGGCGGCCCGUGAUGCAUAACACGGAAGGCUCUCAAAGACUUGUCGUGUACUCCAAGGUGUAGAAUUCGUCGGAGACUCAGUUUCCUCAUAUGUAGCCAACUAAGGUGUUGUAACCCUAAACCCUCCUGGUAUCUAUAUAAACCAAGGGAUAAGGCUCGUAGAGGAGACAUAACAAUCUCAGGGUAGAUCAUCUGUACUUUGUACUCCAUCAAACGAAAAUAAACACAAAAAUGAUGUAGGAUUUUAUCUCUUCGGAGAGUCUAAACCUCGGUAAAAUCUUGUAUCCUUAUUACCAUUGUAUCUAGACACGUAGUUCCGGACCCCCUACCGAGAUCUGUCGCAUUUAGCUCCAUCAGCCUGCAUCAAGCGGGAGUUUACUAUUAUGUGACUGCUUUGCACCCUUUCAUUUCAAUGUCGUGUUUGAUAUUUUGGGAGUCACAACACGCCAUUUGUUUCUGUCUCGUUUCGUUUGCGCUGAUCUUUCAGCUUGUGUUCCCCUCUCAUUCUUUUUUGUUCGCAAGAAAAGAGAAAAGGAAAAAAGAGAAAAGAAUCUACAAAAGUGUUUCCUAAUCCCAAGCUCAAAUGCUCCUCUAUGAGAAGUAAAAUAUUUUGUUAUUGACAAAAAAACAUUGCUUAGAUUCUUUUUGCGUGCAAAUUUUCGUGGGGAAAUCACAUUUAUGGAGGUCUAGGAUUUUUUUUAACAAAAUCAAUACUUGAAAUGCUUUCAAAAAUAAUCUUUUGAAGCGUCGAUUUUGGUUUUUUCACCCAGAGUAUAAGGAAUGUUUUUUCUUCACAAAGAGUUGCGAGUAUGUUUUUUUUAGGAGUCAUAAAUAACUUUAUUCAUCAUCAAAAACCACAUUAUGUGGGAUACAUAAAGCGUCAUGGGGUUGUAGAAGCCACACAUGGCGCCCCCGAGCUAAUCUAACAGAGAAUUUUGCUAAACUAUGAGCAUCCGUAUUGGAUAAACGACCUUCAUGAGUGAUUCUACAAUUGAAACUUUCAGCCCUAGCUUUGAUUUCAGUAAUAAUGGAACCAUAUGUGCCUCUGCUGCUCCUGUUUAUAUCCUCUACCACUUGCUUUCCAUCUGAAGCGAUGAUAAAGUUUUGAAGUGCAAGGUCGUCCGCCAACGCAAAAGCUUCGCGACAAGCUAUCGCCUCGAGGGUGGCUGCAUCAUGAAUGUUGUCUAUCACCAGGGCUGAACUGCCCAGGUAGUUACCCUGAUCAUCGCGGCAGACCGCAGCGGCGGAGCCCCUUCUGUUAAAUCUGUGGAUUCCUGCGUCCACGUGAAUCUUUGCAAACCCCGGCGGAGGUGCCCUGGGCCGUCUGUUCGCAACAGCAGCUUGUCUGAGCCGUCCCCCUGAAGGGAUAUUCGGCUUAGUAUCCAUAGUCUCAAGCUCCGCCAUGAAACGGGUGAUGAAUGCGUGAGUGGCCUGCGGGCUCUGAAAAAUUCCUUCGUGUAUCGCCUUUCUUCUCGCAGUCCAUAUUGCCCAUAGUGUGACAGCCAGGGUCAGGAAAGCUUCAUGCGAUAAUACGUGCAUCAUUGAGAAAAGCCAUGCUUUUGCAGCCGGUUCGCUGGUCGCCCUCAACUGACACUAGUAGAAAAGGGGGCUUUUGUCCUGGUUGGUAAGGGCCUUUAGUCCCGGUUUUUGAACCGGGACUAAAGGGUCGUUACUAAUGCCUCCCCCCUUUAGUCCCGGUUCUUACACGAACCGGGACUAAAGGCCGUCCACGUGGACGCAGACUGGAGCUCCACCUUUAGUCCCGGUUGGUGUUACCAACCGGGACUAAAGAAAAUUUUAUGAUUUUUUUUUGAAAAAAAAUUGCGAAUUUUUUUUAAUUUUUUUUUUGAUUUUCUCAUUUCUGAAUUAUUUUAACCUCUAAUCUCUAAUCACCACCCCUCAUCACUGCUCAAUUUAUCCUCUAAUCUCUAAUCACCCCUCAUCAUUCCAAAUCAUCUAACUUCCCGGACGGUCACCCAUCCUCUCACUACUCCAGCCUGAGCACGCUUAACUUCUGGGUUCUAUUCUCCCUCGUUUCCAAGUCUGCACAUGUUGUUUUCCUGACAAUAUUAAGAUGUCAAUCCUAUUAACCCUCAGGAAUUUAGCUUGAGCAUGAAGUGACACAUUUCACUGUUUGAGUUUGAAACUAUUGUUUUAAAAAACAAUAAUUAUUUAGUAACACUAAUAUUUCUGGAAUAAUUAGUUUGACCACAGUUUGACCAGAUUUGACCACAAUUUGACCAGAUUUGACCAAAAUUCAAAACAACUGAAAUAAUUAUUUAGUAACACUAAUAUUCUAGAAUAAUUAGUUUGACCAUUGUUUGACCACAGUUUGACCACAAUUUGAAAAUUUUUGAAUUUUUUUGCCUCUCCAGAUCUUAAAAGCCCCGUAUCUUUUUUUCUGUUAGGUUUUUGAGGAUUUUGAAAAUGUUUAAGAAAGUUCCCUCGUUAAAUUCGGAUGUAACUUUUCGAGUAGAUGAUUUUUCAUAUAAAAAACUUUUUCAUCCGAGUUCGUAUGCAAAAGUUAUGCCCAUUUUAAGAAAUUCCAGAGAGAUUUUGCAAAUAAAGUCGAAAUUCAUAUUUGUUAAUUUCCCCAACAACUAGACCACAUAUCACAUGGGAAACUUAUUUUAUUUUAUUUUUUGACACUUCCAUCAUUUUCUUUUGUUUUUUCUAAAACUGAAAAGGCGGUCCAACGGGGGGGCACAUGGGAAACUUAUUUUAUUUUAUUUUUUUGACACUUCCAUCAUUUUCUUUUGUUUUNNNNNNNNNNNNNNNNNNNNNNNNNNNNNNNNNNNNNNNNNNNNNNNNNNNNNNNNNNNNNNNNNNNNNNNNNNNNNNNNNNNNNNNNNNNNNNNNNNNNNNNNNNNNNNNNNNNNNNNNNNNNNNNNNNNNNNNNNNNNNNNNNNNNNNNNNNNNNNNNNNNNNNNNNNNNNNNNNNNNNNNNNNNNNNNNNNNNNNNNNNNNNNNNNNNNNNNNNNNNNNNNNNNNNNNNNNNNNNNNNNNNNNNNNNNNNNNNNNNNNNNNNNNNNNNNNNNNNNNNNNNNNNNNNNNNNNNNNNNNNNNNNNNNNNNNNNNNNNNNNNNNNNNNNNNNNNNNNNNNNNCCACCAACCGGGACUAAUGGGCAUCGCACCCUUUAGUCCCGGUUCGUGGCACCAACCGGGACUAAAGGGCCCAGGUGAACUGGGACUAAUGCCUUAGCCGCACGAACCGGGAUAAAUGCUCACAUUAGUCCCGGUUCGUGACUGAACCGGGACUAAUGUGAAAACUGCCCUGUGACCAAAGCCCUGUUUUCUACUAGUGUGAUCCGCUAGCUCUCCAUCAACUUGGGCCCAAAUACAUCGCGCCAUUGUACAAUCCAGAAGGGAAUGUUUCCAUGAGUCUGGAGAGCCACAAAGUCCGCAUGAACUGGUUUCUGACAUGUUUCGAUGUUCUCUGACGUCCUCGGUCGGCAGCGAGUGUCUCGCAAGUCUCCAUAGGAACAUCCUUAUUUUAGCUGGUACACGGACAUGCCAUAGGUAUUUCCAUGAUUUCUUCUCUUGCAUUACGUUGGAUGACCCUGCCGUUCCUUCUAGCCAUGCCCCUCGUCUUUGCUUGGUGUUGACGAGCAUCUUAUAAGCUAAACGGACUGAAAAGAGCCCCUUUUUCUCAAAAUUCCAGGCCCAAAAGUCUGACACCACUCUGGUGCAUAGGGGAAUGCUAGUUACUGAUGGAAUGUCAAUCGGCAGCAUGACCUGGCGGAUACGGUGCAAGUCCCAUGUGGUUGUUGUGUGAUCAAUCAAUUCUGCUACAAACUGUGGAGGGUUGUGUACCAAACACCCAUAUGGUUUCAUCAUCUCAUCCCUUGGCAACCAGUUGUCGCUCCAAAUCUUAGUGGUUGAGCCAUCUCCAAUUCUUCUUAUCAAGCCAUGUUUGAGAAUAUCCCAUCCUUCCACGAUCGCCCUCCAUAUCUGGCUCGGGUGCCCACGGAGCUCUGCCUCCAAAAUUGUGGUCAAGGGAAAAUAAACACUCUUGAGAACUCUUGAACUUAGAGAAUCUGGGUUCUGCAAGAUACGCCACGCUUGCCUGGCAAGCAAAGCGAGAUUAAACAGCUCAAAAUCCUUAAACCCCAGACCUCCCAUGUCCUUUGGCUGUGUCAUAUCCUUCCAAGAUACCCAGGCCGGUUUCCUCUUGCCAUCUUUGCUGCUCCAUCAAAAUUUCCGUAUCAACAUAUUUAGGUGCUCACAUAAGCCCCUUGGUAGUUUAAAACACGACAUAGAAUAGACAGGAACUGCUUGAGCUACUGAUUUGACUAGCACCUCUUUUCCUGCUGUUGACAAGGUUUUCUCUAUCCAGCUCUGCACUUUGUUCCAUAAGCGGUCUUUUAGAUACUUGAAAGCACCGUUUUUUGAUGAUCCCACAUCUGAUGGCAUCCCCAGGUUCUCGCUUAGGGUUUCGUUAGGAACAUUGAGCAAAUCUUUUAUUUCAGUUCUUACCAAGUCAGGAACUCCUUUACUGAAAAAGAUAGACGACUUAUCAUAGUUGAUCCUCUGGCCUGUUGCCUGACAAUAGAUUUCCAACAACUGGUGCACCUCCAAUGCUCCCGCUCCAUUUGCUCUGAAAACAGCAGGCUGUCAUCUGCAAAAAGUAAGUGGUUAACCGGUGGCGCCGAUGGAGCCACUUGUAGACCACGGGUGUUUGAUGACUCUUCUCUGGAUUUUAUAAGGCACGAGAGGCCCUCUGCUGCUAACAAAAACAAAUACGGAGAAAUGGGGUCCCCCUGUCGGAUCCCUCUUGUGGGCGUGAACUCCUGAAGUUUCUUUCCAUUGAAAAGGACUGAAAAUCUCACAGUUGAUAUCAUGUUCAUGACAAUUCCAACCCACCUUUCUGUGAAGCCUAACUUCAACAUUAUGGCCUGAAGAUAAGACCACUCCACCCGGUCGUAGGCCUUCAUCAUGUCUAGUUUCAGUGCACAGUGUUGAUUUUUCUUUGCUUUGUUCCUUUUCAUAAAGUGAAGACACUCAUAGGCCGUGAUUAUAUUAUCAGUGAUCAUCCUCCCUGGCACGAAGGCAGACUGCUGCUCUGAAAUAAUAUCUGGGAGUACCAACUUCAAGCGAUUGGCGAUGACCUUUGAUGCUAUCUUGUAGAGGACAUUACACAGACUUAUAGGACGAAAUUGCGACAAGAGAGUUGGGUUCUUAACCUUCGGAAUCAGGACAAGGAUGGUAUCAUUUAUACUUUCCGCAGAUUCCAUUCCAUCCACUAUUCUGAGCACUGCUUUAGUAACUUCACCCCCACAUAUCUCCCAAUGCUGCUGAAAAAAAUGUGCCGGGAAACCGUCCGGGCCUAGUGCCUUCAAGGGAAACAUUUGGAACAAGGCCUUUUUGACCUCUUCUUGACUAUAUGGAGCAUUAAGAGUGACGUUCAUCUCUCGAGUUACCUUCCUCGGGACCGUGUUGAUCACACUUUCCAUGUUUUGCACCCCCUCAGAACUGUAUAGAUUGUUAUAGAAAGCGGUAGUAGCAGCCUCCAUUUCUUCCUUGUUUUCGGUGACACGGCCAUCCGGGAGCUGUAAGGCUUUGAUCUGGUUCUUUCUGCGUCGUCUACUAGCUCUUAGGUGAAAGAAAUAAGUGUUUUUAUCCCCGUGAGCCAGCCACUCCAGGCGUGCCGUUUGCCUCCAUAAUAUUUCUUCUCUGUGAUAGAGCUCCACCAUCCUGUCUGUGAUCUUAGUCUCUAGAUGCGAAGGCGCAGCUCUGCCUGGAGCCGCACGCAAAGCCUCUAGUUCCUUCUUUAGUUGCCUGAUCUCCAAUCUCACAUUCCCAAAAUGGGUGCGCUCCCAUGUCGUCAAAUCAGCAGACAGAUUUGUUAACUUGUCAUGCAGCCCGGACACACUCCCUGUCGCUAUCGCAUUCCAGCCAUCUCCCACCACCUGUGCAAAAUCCGGGUGACGCUCCCAAGCAGCUUCAUAUUUAAAUGAGCGGGGCCCAAUUUUGCAUGCAUGCACGUAGUCAUUUCGGAGCAACAGUGGUAUGUGGUCGGAAGAUGCGGUGAGAUUGGGUCCAAAACAGGUGCCCCAAAUUUCCACAGACCUCACACCAGUCAGGCAGCCUCUCGUAUUUAACACGAAAGAUCUCUCUCUUCCCUUUCACAACCAGAGAAACAACAUUCUUUAGUGGCUUGGUUACAUCGAUCUUUACCCGGACUCGAACGAAAUUUCCUUCAAAGUCCUGCGACUUGGGCUCACCAUAGAUAUAUUCCCCUAACGUAGCAGCAAGUGCUUUAACUUUAGGCAAGAAUCCGUCCGGAAAGUCAUGGAUCUGCAUCCAUAUAGUAAUCUUAUUCAGCUCUAUAGACGACGGCCUGGUGAAACCAUCGUAGCGCUCGAUCACCACCGCCUUUCCCUUGAACGACCAUGGGCCUUCUUCCAUUACCCUCUCCCAAUCACCUAGGCAUGAGAACUUGAGUGUGUAUAGGUUAUCUUCCAGAGGCCGAAUAUGCACCUCCUGCGCUAGAUCCCACGCUGCCCGCAUGUUCCUAUAAAACCAGUACUGACUGUAUGUUUUUGGCGUGUGCACCCGGGCGACUGCCAUCCACCGAGUAGCCUCCUCUUCGAGUUCAUCAUCUUCCAUGACCACGUCCUGAAGAUCAUCCUCUUUCAAUCCUAAGUUCCUAACUUAGCCAUCAUGGCCUCCAGCUCGGCUGCUGCCUUGCUCAAGCUUGAAGACGAUUCGUCCAUUGGAUCUCUCGCCCGAGAUCGAUGUGUUCCGCGGGCGGUGAAACCCUAAUUCCUCCCCGCCAGGGAACCUGCCACUGCCGGGAUAAACACCCCGAUAGACCAGCAAGAGAGGCGAGGGGGAAGGGGAGGUGAUUUUCUACGGUGGUGGAGAUCGCCGAUCGCCGCCGCCGAGAGGAAGUCUAAACCCUAACGAGAGGGGACACUGCUUUUCCUAUCACGUGUGGCUGGGCGCUGGGCGAGCGCUAAGAGUUGCGAGUAUGUACGAGUAGAACUUAACACUGUUUGUUGUAAAAGAAGUUCAGCUUCUUAAUUCUUUCUUAUCUGUAAUGGGGGAAGCAGGGAACCGUCAGCGAUUUGCUCCCCUGCAUCGCGUGCGCCCCUGUCCAAUGGAGGAACCGACGGCGGCCGCUGCCGACUGGUCCAAGCUCCCGUCAGACGUCCUCACCACCGUCCUCGGCGCCCUCGAGUUCCCAGACCUCUUCCGCGCCGCCGCAGUCUGCGCGGCCUGGCGCGCCACCGCCCGCGCCCUCCGUCGCCUCGGGAUCUACCUCCGUCCCCAAACCCCCUGCCUCCUCUACACCACCGCCGCCGCCGGCCCGAACGCCGCCGAGCUCUUCAGCCUCGCCGACAAGAAGGCCUACAGGGUGCGCCUCCCGGACCCUCCCAUCGGGGAGCGCAACAUCGUCGGCUCCUCGCACGGGUGGCUCGUCACCGCCGACGCCCGCUCCGAGCUCCACCUCCUCAACCCCACCACCGGCGAGCAGGUCACGCUCCCCUCCGUCGCCACCAUCGAGCAGGUGAGCCCCGUCUUCGACCGCGACGGCAACCUCGAAAGGUACGACCUUUCUCGCCACGGCGACGAGCCGCAGCCCUGUGGGGUGGACGAGCUCCGGGGAGUUCUGUAUCUCAAGGUCGUGCUGUCCGGCGAUCCCGCGUUGGGGGAUUGCACGGCCGUGGUGAUUCACAAUCCCUAUAGGUGUCUCUCGUUUGCGAGGGUCGGUGACGACAAGUGGCACUGGAUCCCCUCGGCACCCGGCGAACCGCCGCGGUACUCCGACUGCAUAUUCGCCGACGACGGCGCGCUCUACGCGAUGAAUCUCCUCGGCGGUAUCCAUUGCUACGCCAUUGAAGGUUCUGGUGCUACCUGCAACAUGAUUUUCUAGGACAACUCGCCAUUCGUGGCGUAUAAUGGGUACCUAUCCAAGGCGUCGUCCGGGAGUGUGCUGCAAAUAUGGAGGGUCGCCAGGGAGACAACAAGUGGGGAGCAAGAAGAGAGGCAUACAGUUGGUAUUGAGAUAUACUCAUAUACAGGGUUGACUUCGACAAGCAGCAGGCGGUCCGUGUGCGGAAUUUGGGGGAUGACGCGUUGUUCAUCGGGCACAACUAUACUUGUUGCCUUCCCACAAAGGACUACCCAGGGCUGCUGCCGAAUCAUGUCUAUUUCACCGACGACGACGAGUACUGGCUGAUUGACGCGAAAGAUAAUCGUCGGGAUGUUGGAAUACUGAAUCUGGAGGAUUCUUAUAAGAUAAGUGCCAGUGGUGUGGUGUCUCCCCAACCAUGGUUGAAUUGGCCGAUUCCUGUAUGGAUCACUCCAAGUUUUCAUAAGAUCCACAAAUAGCUAGGUAUGAUUCUUGCACAUAGUAAUUACAUAUUUACCUUUGCUUGGUUUCUUUCUUAUGUGUAAGUUGAUAUGGUUUUAUUUCCUGGUUCUUUGUUUCUGAGUAUCUGUUCGUUAUUUGGCAAUACUCCCAUAGCAUGUUAAAAGAUUUGACACAUUGACAGGGUGUUUCAUCGAUACCAUAUACACAGCAGAAUGCACCGUUGCCUCUGUUGAAUUGAUAGCCCACAAUUUCUUUAGCGUCCAUUCGGAGGUUUAUGUUUGCGAUGAUCAGCGGCAAAUUUCUGUUCGUACAGUAUUUGGCGUUAUGUUGAAUCGACUGCUCAAUUUUAAGGUGGUGGCUAAGGUGAUUCAAAUUACAAAGAGUUCACAGAAGUUUUCUCCGUCAUUAUUUUUUCACACUCACUUGUAUGACACUGUUUGCCUUUCCCUCUUUACCAUCACUAUUUGGUGAAGUGCAUAAUUCGCGUACACCUAUACAGUACACCCUCCUUUUGCUUCGCACGAAAUGAUAUUUAUAAGUUAUACUUACUGGCGAUUAUUCCAAACUGACAGGUUUCCAGUAUAAGGAUGUUAGUGGGAAGGGAAUGCUCUUGCUUGUCAUCAAUAAUUUACUCCAGAACUAUUCUGACUGGAGAUAUCCGUUGGGCUGUUGCUUUUGGUAGGGCAAGCAAGCAGAAAGAAUUAAUUUAUCUGGUGGUCAGCCUGGCGAAGCAUUUAGGAAAAUGUUCCCCAGGGGAAGGAGAAAAGAAUGUUUAUGUUGGCUGAAAUCGAAGUUGCUCUGGGAAGAAGACAGGAUAUCAGUGGGAAGAGAAUGCUCUUGCUUCUCAUCAAUAAUUUACUCCAGAACUCUUCUUGCAUUUCUAUUAGCUUAACCUGCAGGAUGGAAGCGUCUUAAAUCUUUGAAUUCACUGUGACAUGUCCAUGUUGAUUACAGUGGCAGCAGUAUUUCAGUGGUAUUUUAACUUCCUAGAAAUGCCUGCUCCGCUGCACCCUUUCCUGUGGCAUUGAGAAGAUUCAUGAGGAUUUUACCUUCUUAUUGCGUUGUUUUAAGAUGUUUUCCGCAUAAAGAUGAGAAACAUGAUUGUUCUGCAAAGCCGAGGCAGAUCGAGAUCUUUGCUGCCCUUCAAAUCCAGGUUUAACAUUUGCAUCUCACCAAAACGGAUUUAAAAUCCUGCUGUACUCCUAACCAUUGCAGGAUGGGACAAUUGUAUUUACCUUGACACUGUAGAUUGAAAUCCCACUGAAACUUACUUCUAGGUCUUGAUGUGACCAAGUAUGUGACAACUGUAAUUAUUUGGGACAACUGCAAUAACACACCUUCCUUUAUUUUUGUCUCACGUGGAAAUUUACCGGGUGAGAAAGUUCUCACUUCUCCAUUCCGGAGAUGGUACUUGCAAUGUAAGCAACAUAAUUUAGUCAUUACUUGGAAAUAAUGAAAUUAAAAACAUAGAGAAAGUAUUGACAGUUAUAUCGAUAGUGUCGACCAAUCUGCAAUGUAGAGUUUAGUUUCUCUUAACUACAUACGUACUACCGCACGCAAACAAUCUAUAGUCUCGUGCACAAGCUAUCGGCUGCCUUGACUUACCUCUGAAUAGCUUCUACUAGAUGGAAUGGGUUCAGAUUGCCUUCAUGUGGCAACUUCUCCAAAAUGCAGUGUUAACUAGAGAUAACUUGAGGAAAAGGAAUUGGGAAGGGAAUCCUUUAUAUUCGUUUUGUCCAGAAAUGGAAUCUGCUAAACAUUUGUUCUUUGGCUGUGGGGUGGCUAGAAUAACCUGGGCCGUUGUUGGUAGAGUGAUGGGUUUUGAUUGUUGUCCUAGUAGUUUUUGGCAAAUUGUCUCUUGGCUAUAUGCUCUCCUGCCUGGAGGGGACAAGUUUUAUAUACACUACUGGAAUUUUCAUGUACGCCGGGUGUAAUACUCUUUGCCGAGUGCUAAAACACGGACACUCGGGAAAUCAAGCUUUGCCGAGUGUUACUCUCGGCAAACCCACCGUCACGGCAAACUGCCAUCUUUGCCGUCACUGCCUCACGGCAAAGAGGCACCGCACGGCAAAGUUGCAGACGCCGAGAGCCGCUCACGGCAAAGAGGAGCCACGUGGCAUGCCCGUCCGCAACAGACGGCUCCGUUAGUUACUGCGUACUUUGCCGAGUGUCACUCUCGGCAAAGCAUAUGCAACAUCCUUUUUUUUUUUUGUGUGUUCUUUCUAUCUGACAUGUGGUCCCACUAGUCACAUUUAUCAGUAAAACUUUUAAAUAACUUGCUAAAUAUUUUUGAAAAAAAAUGAUGAUAUCUUUGCCGAGAGCUGUUCGCCUGGUCCCACGUGUCAGGAACCGCCGUCACCAUCUGCUAUCCGUUAGCUACUUUAUUUUGCCGAGUGGUACUGUUUGGCUCUCGGCAAAGUGUUUGCCGAGUGCCCGUGUUCUGGCUCUCGGCAAACUCCUGUUUGCCGAAGAGGUGUACGCCGGGUGGCUUUCGCCGAGGGUGACACUCGGCAAAGGCUUUGCCGGCGGUUUUCGGCCCUUUGCCGAGUGUCCAUGGCACUCGGGGUAGCCCAGAAUUCCAGUAGUGAUACCCUGUGUGGUGGCUAUAUGUUGGGGUAUUUGGUGCACUCGUAAUAAAGUGACCUUUGAGAACCAUGUGAUGCGUACUGCAAUUCAGAUUAUCUUUACCGCUUGUUCGUUCUUAUCCUAUUGGACAGGUUUGUUGAAGAAGGAUGAAAGUGUUAUUGUGAAGAUGGGGAUCCAGGCGGAGAUGAAGGAGGCAACACUUCUGUCGAACAAGCUGCAGGCACGCGUCGUCCCUGACUGAAGGUUCUUCCGGACGCGACAGCCUGGUCCUCCAGGAUGCGGGUGGUGGAACCUGAUGGUAGUUGUUGGUCUUUAGUCUAGUGAUGUUUUGGCUCGUUGAUCUGGAUGUGCUGGGCAGAUGUGAUCCUGUGUUGCUGCCUGUGAGAUUAUGUCUUCUAUUUUUGCUAUCAUCUUGGUUUGGAUAGUUUGUGGUGCUAUCAGGUUUUUGCCCCAUAGUAGUUGUUUGUUGUGCAGCUAUAGCGGGUUUCCAGAUAGUCCCCCAACUCACUCCAUCCUUUCUAGUUUCCAGUUUUCGGUGUGGUCAUAUGUCGCUGGUGUUUGUAGCACCAACAAAAGAUUGGAUGCUGUUAUCUUUCCAUUAAGUAAUUAAUGCAAAGGUUGCUGUCAAAAAAAAGUCAUUAAUGGAAAGGGGGUUGCCCGGUUGGAAAAAGAAACAGUGAAAGCGAACAUAAUGAACAUGACUUUUUAUAUAUUAAUGUGUCAAAUGUUAUCAAUAGAUUAAACAUGAAAUUUAUUUUCAUAAUAUCCACAAUCAAGAAAAAUAUGGCCUACUUUUGUUGUCUAAGUCAGAAUUUGUUAUGUAAUACAAAUUAAAUUGGUACGAUUGAGUUUGCUGUCAAAAGCACACUCUCGUAUGAUUGAGAUUUUGUGGCAACCCCCAAAGUUCAAUUGUACAUAUUUUAUGUUUUGACACAGUCCUGGACAUAUUCUUCAUAUGAAUAUUUUUGAAAAAGAUUAUAAAAUGAUAUAAUGAAAGUAAUUUUCAUGGUCAAUAUAGUGAUAAUAUUUUCACUUGAAAAAUGUGACCACCAUUUAUACAUCCAUAUAUAGUACCAAUAAGAGAAAUUUGAUCCAUGUACUCUAGAAGGUUAUCUACUUAGCUGAUAAUAUUAAGAAUAUAUAUUUUACUUCUUGCAAAAAAAGAACAUAUAUUUUACAAAAAAUUCAGGUCAAAAUAUAAAUUUGUGCGGUUAAAAUGAAGCACUACAUAUAUAGUUAUGCCAUGUCCAAAAGGUCGUAUAUAUAGUUAUGCAAGAAAGUAUUACUAUUACUAUCAUACCAAAAAAUAUACAUAUAGUAGUAGCAUAUUAAGAGCAACAAGCUGGCCUGCCCCACACAAGUCAAAAUUACAUGGCAACCAAUCGGUGUGGAGUAGAAAUGCAGAAUGAUCAAGCGCUUGCUUGUUCCGUUGGUAACAUGGGCUUAGGAAAUCUUGAUGAUGGUUACCAAGGGCCUGAUGUUGCCACAAUAGCAGAGUGCAAGGACUUGAUACGGGAGUUUGUAAAAGUUUAGUUCACACACUGCUUCAGAGAAGCAAACGAUGCAGCAGAUGGCUCAGCUAAACAUUGCUAUAAUCCUGGACCCCCUAGCUUUUGGGACGUUCCUAUCCCUGAUUUUAUUCCUCGCCUUCAUGUAAAUGACCUAUCUAUUAUAUGAGAAAUAAAGUCGUUUUGAAAAAAAACAUGGGUUUAGGAAAUCUUGCAUAGGCACAUAACACAUGUAAAGAAGCCUUCACAAUUUAUUUUAUGAAAAUAAUCAAUAUUUUUUACAUGAUAUGCUUAAUCAAAGAUUGGUAUUAUCUCGUGUGGAGAACCUUUCCCGGACAUAACUCAAAUAUAGGUCAUCACUAUGCCUAGAUUAGAAUUGCACACAAUAAGGUUGAGCUUGGAGUAUGAAAAUUAGACUUUAUUCUUUCGGUGGGUCUCGGGCUCAAAAAGAAAAUGAACAUCAAUUAUAUCAACCAUCUCAAGAUAAAACUCGCAUGCGUUAGUACUCCUUCAGUUUUUCUCUUUGGUAAUGCUAUCUAGCUAACGUUCUGUGAGAAGCACUCGCGGAGCUUCGGCCAGGCCGAAUGGGCCAUGGCCCGCCCAUGGCUAGAGCAAUUUUUUUAUGAAGCCCACCUACAACACUGACACACAUAUGUGUGGCACGUAGAACCGGCAGAACCUAUUUGACGCCCAUUAGCGUCAAAAGGUUGACCUUUCGCUGAGGUGAGCCACCGGGUGGGCCGGCCCAUGUACAGGGUCCGCGUUUUAUCCGUUCGCUACAGCUUCCUUCGUUUUUUUCCUGUGUUUUUUUGCUUCCGGUUCUUUGCAAUGUUUUGUCCGGUCUUCACUGGUUUUGUUCUGUUUCUUUUUGUUUUCGUUCCUUUUUCCUUUCUUUUUUUCUUUUUUCGUUUCUUUUCUUUUUUUAUUUCUUCUUCCCUUUCCUGUGUGUUAUAUUCAAAGGUCACCUCCUAUUACAAAAGUAUUCAUCAUAUAUGAAAAACAUGGUUAACUGUACAUUGUGAAAAAGUUCACUAUGCAUUACGAAAAUGUUCAUCGUACAUUUAACAAAAUGUACACCAUAUAUUAAGAAAAUGUUCAUUGUAUUUAAAAAAUGUUCAUUGUGUACUAAAAAAAUGUUCAGCGUAUAUCAAAAAAAAAUCAGCGUUUAUCACAAAAAUGUUCAAUGUGUAUUUUAAAAAAGUCAUUGUAUAUCACGAAAAAGUUCAAUGUGUAUUUAAAAAUUGUUCAUCGUAUAUUUAAGAAGAUGUUCAAUGGUUGAAUUUAUUUGAUUUUUUAAUCUACCGAUGCGAUUAGUUCUUCGACAAUCUCACACCACUGUAAUAACUAAUAAUCAUCAGCUCAACUGGUAAGUAAUGCUGACUCUUUAUCGUUGGUUGCGAGUUUGAUUCUUUGACUAAGCAACCUUUUUUUGCUAAUUUAAUUGAAGCCACCGAAUGGGCCGGCCCAAUUCGAUUCACACCCUGCGCGAAAGCUGCUCCUGUUGAGCACUCCGUAGAACCCUCGCACGCGAGCAGCACUCAGCCCUAAAAAUGUCACAUGGGAUACAACGGGGCUGCCCAGGCCUUAGGGUCAGGCCGCCGGUCAAAGCGCAACAAGCAGCAGAUAUUAGCCGCCGGCCAUCUGCGCACCAUACAUAUUAGUUCCUUCCACGGACAGACGGCCCAUCAGACAUCAUCACACAGCUCGUCAACCGACCCACGCGUCCAGGGCAGCGAGGCGGCAACCCAGCUGCCAGAUCCUUCUCUGAAUCCAUCGGAAUCACUGCCUGCAAACUUGCCAAAUCUGAAUCCCUACAAGCUUAACACGUAAAUCAUCCCUAAUUUGUCUAAAAAAACGAAAAUCAUCCCUAAUUUGAUUCCCCUAAAUUCCACUUAGGUACUUUGUUAACUGGAUCAUCUCCUAAAUCACCAAUUAACAUAUGUAAAUAAUCCACUGAAUUUGGAAGCAUUUAUGCUCUCCAGCCCGCCAAACUUUCUUUCCGUAGCUCCGCCACUGGUGAGAAGGAUGGCAUUUGCGGCCGUUUUCCAUGGCAAUUUAUCUGCAUGAGCAUGUUAAUUCUUUAAGGCGAACACCGCAAUUUUCGCAGCAAAAUCCCUUCUUUUACAGAAGUUGCCAUCUAAUGCUGAAGAAAUUGCCAUGCACUUUCGAUGAACUUAGUCGUAAAAAACAUUCGCAAAAGCCAUGCUAACUUGUCCAAGAAAGAAAGUUAGGGUUCGUGCCUCUCGCCGGCGCCGGCGCAGGUCCGCCUCGUUUCCGGUGGCCCUAGGGCCAUGGAGGCGCGGUGGAUCCUGGCAAGGGCCGGCGGGAGGGCUCCGUUUUUAGUCGUUUUUUUCAAUCUUGCUAGGGUUUGUGUCCUACUCAGGAAGGCAAGACGACGGCGGCUCUCUGAAGAUGGAAUAAAGGUCUCCCCGCCUAGCCCCCGUUCCGGUGAUGUGUCUAGCAUCGUUGGUGGGCGUGUGGAGGUGUGUCUCCGGCAGAUCUAUCUUUGGUGGAUUUGCUCGGAUCUCGUCAUUGUUCGUCUACGUUCGUGUGUCUUCGUUUGGAUCCUUCCGAUCUACGUUAUUUUUCAUCGGCGGCGGUUGCUGUUCUGGGGUGCUAACCCUAUGGGGCCUUAGCAUGACGAGUUCCCGACUGUCUACUACAACAAGUUGUGCCCGGCUCCGGCGAUGGAGGGGCGAUGACGACGGCGCGCCUUCGGCUCGCUUCGGUGUUUGUAGUCGUCGCUAGGUGGUCUACGGAUCUGGAUAUAAUUUUUAUUUCGGGUGUUCGUUGUACUGCCAUGAUUGAAGAUGAAUAAAUUGAAAGUUUUCCCACAAAAAAAAACUUGUCUUACAAAAAGCCAUGCUUCCUAGAGAAUGUUCCCUUGGCUAUUGGGGUGCUUUUUUCUUUGUUCUGCGCAAUUUCUCAGACAGAAGUAAUAACGGUUUUGGCCACAUCAUCGCGAAAAAGUCAAAUACUAGACAUGUAGAGUAGUCAAGGGUCAAUCAUGCUAGUUGCUUGUCCUAACGUGCCACCUAAACCGUGAUAGUCCCGUCACUCUCUGGAUAUAACGCGGGUGAGGCAUGAACAUCUGGCGGGAUACUUGUCAACAGAACGCAGCUAUCCAGAAACUGCUGCUGCCCGUCGAUCUCUUUAAGAUCACGUCGGAGCACCAGUCCAACACGGGUGCUGGACUCCGACGACCUGCCGGUGCCGGCGUGUAUGAAUCCUGACCACUCCCAUUCUCAAAAAGUAAAAAGAAAAAACAGGACCAGUCCAACGGUAAUGCAUGUGGUACUUAAUAUUCUCGAUGCUGGACUUGACUUGCCGGCCGGCGUGUAUAAAUCAUGCAUUUUCGCUGCAGUUUCACCGUGACGGACGAGCGGCGGAAAUGGCUUCCGCUCAUCGCUGCACUAGUAUGGCGACCAAACUACUCAUGUCUGUCGUGUUGCUGGUGGUGCUAAAGCGCUCUGCGGGGGCGCGUUCUGAUGAUUCUCCGUGCGGCUUCCCGGCCAUCUUCAACCUCGGCGACUCCAACUCGGACACCGGAGCCUUCCCGGCCCUCUUCCCGGCGGUGCAGCCGCCCUACGGCCGGACCUUCUUCGGCAUGCCGGCCGGUCGGCAAAGCGACGGUCGCCUCACCAUCGACUUCAUGGGUAUGUAUACGUCUAUCUACAUCAUCUUCAGGUAUGAUUUUUAUUUUUCCUGACACGUAUUGCUUGCAGCUCAAAACUUGGGGCUGCGUUACUUGAAUGCGUAUCUGGAUUCACUGGGGAGCAACUUCACUCAGGGAGCCAAUUUCGCAAGCGCCGCCGGAACCAUCAGACGGGUGAACGGGAGCUUGUGGACCUCCGGGUACAGCCCCAUUUCCCUGGACGUGCAGAUCUGGCAACUCCAGCAGUUCAUCAACAGGAGCCAAUUCGUCUACAACAACAUAGGUUCGGUGAAAAUGAAACUUAAAUCGAGUAUAUUUUUAGUACUCCUUCUGUUCAUUUUUAUAAGACCUUGAAGAUAUUUCAGAUAAUGUGCAAAACAGCCUAUUUUGAAUUAUCUGAAACGACUUGCAAAAAUGAACGGAGGAAAUAAUUUUUCACUGGAAGCUUAAACUGUCUGCAGGUGGAAUCUAUCGGGAAAUCCUGCCGAACCCCGAGAACUUGAUAUCCAAGGCGCUUUACACCUUGGACAUCGGCCAGAACGACCUCACCGUGGGCUACUUCGACAACAUGACCACCAAGCAAGUCGAGGCCUACGUCCCCGAUCUGAUGGAGAGGAUCUCGUCGGCGAUCCAGACCGUGUACAACCUCGGGGGGAGGUACUUCUGGGUGCACAACACGGCGCCGCUCGGGUGCCUGCCGUACGCCUUGACGUUCCGCCCGGACCUCGCCGCCGCAGAGAAGGACGGCGCCGGCUGCUCCGUCGAGCUCAACGCCGGCGCCCGGUUCUUCAACGCGCGGCUCAACGAGACCGUGGACAGGCUCAGGGCGACGCUCCCCGGCGCCGCCUUCACCUACGUCGACGUCUACGCCGCCAAGUACAGGCUGAUAAGCCAAGCCAAAAAGCUCGGUUUUGGGGACCCCCUGCGCGUGUGCUGCGGGUACGGCGGCGGCCAGUACAACUUCGACAGGGACAUCCGGUGCGGCGACAAGAUGGAGGUGAACGGCACGUCGGUGCUGGCGGGGAAGCCGUGCGAGGACCCGUUCAGGAGCGUGAGCUGGGACGGCGUGCACUUCACCGAGGCGGCCAACAAGUUCGUCUUCGACCAGAUCGUGGACGGCGCGCUCUCCGACCCUCCCGUGCCUCUGCGGCGGGCCUGCCAGGCCAAAGGGCAAUGAACAUGACGUUCGUUAAUUAGGCUGCGGAUGUAGCUAGGAUUUUUUCUAUGCACCCGUACUGUUGUUACGAAUAAAAUCUGCAGUGAGUAUCCGUACUCCAAAUAAAACCUGCAGUGAGUAUCUACUUAUAAGGCAGCUAAAGAAAUCUAUGAAUAAUAAAUAUAUCUAAAUGAUAUGUGCCGACGGUAAAGUUAAGGGCUUACAGCGCAGUUUGAAGGGUUGCGGGAGGUUUACGGGUCCGCUUGAAGAUGCCCUUACAGCUCUAAAGUUUGUCCCAAACCAAAAGCUUGCCAAAACCUCUGACUGCAUUAGCAAUAUCUGCAAAUUUUCUAAGGUCCGGAUGAAAACCAACAAGCAUCAACCAUACUUCUCUGUUAAAAUGAAAUUACAAAUCUUACCUACUCCCUCCGUCCAGAUGCAUAGGUCAUCUUAAGUUGUGCACCGCGAUGAAGGUGUAGGAAAAACCGAGAGAACUUAAUGUUUAUUUACUAAUUAAUACUAUUGCAUGCAAUGAACUGAUCAUUACAUGUCGUGUUUGUAGUCUCAAGUCAUUAAAAGCAUACACGUCCCACAUCUUUUAUUGGUUGAUUCCUUUAUUUAUAUCAAGAAAUGAAGUGGGAGUUCAUACACCUUGCCUAAGUGUUUUCGGAUUAUUUGGUUUUGUAAGGUGACCUAUACACCUAAACGGAGGGAGUAUUCUAUUUAUUGCGUAAGUUCACCACGCGACGUUACCAUCAACACAUAGCAUUAGAUAUAUGUAGCGAACCAACCUGUGGUUGGAUGGUUAGAGGGACCGUGGUAUCCCCAGCCCACUAGGGUUCAAGUCCUGGUGCGCAUUUAUUCCUGGAGACGUUCCCGUCGACGACGAGGUACCUACAUAGGGGUAGGGUGUGCGUGUGUGCGUUCAUAGGAGUGAGUGUAUGCGCGUGUAUAUGAGCGCUUGCGUCUGUACUGUGUUAAAAAAUGCAUUAGAUAUAUGUAUUAUUCAUAGAUAUUUUUUUGUAACAAUUAUAAAUAGAUACUCACUGCAGAUUUUAUUUGGAGUACAUAUACACACACUCCGGAUUUUAUACAUAUUUAUACCCCUAUAUAGUGUGCGAAUAACUUUGAAAAAUGGUCGUUGGAUGAAGCCAACCCGACGGUGCAGAGAUGGCAAAUCCGAGCACUACUGGCCGUUGGAUAUCAUCUACAUUCCAUCAUAUUUUGCCACAUGUACAAUCUAAAAGACUCCACGGUUGAAUUUAAGCAUAAUGCACAAACCUCAAAACACAAGCACUUCUUCUUUGUUCUAAAAUUUUCUGUAUCAUAAUUGCCCAAUUUUUUUUCUAGAUGAAUUGCCAUUAUUUAUUUUUUUACUUUAUGCUUUACAACGCACAAUUCCAUGAAUCGUAAAAUAGAUUAGCUUUUUUUAUGAAAACUAACUGAUUUUGAAUGAGAUGAUCUAUAGGAAUUAAACGAACAUCUACAUCAUGCAUAUAUAACUCAAAGCUUACCUGCUAUAGUGUGGCAUUUAUUCAUAAUUUGAUUGUCAAAUCUCAUGCGUGCAAUGCACGUGUACCUUACUAGUUUUAUUUGGAGUAUGGACGUUUGGAAAAAUCCGACAUCGGUAGCCUAAUUAAUGGACAACAUGCUCAUUGCCCUUUCGCUUGGCAGGCCCGCCGUAGAGGCACGGGUGGGUCGGAGAGCGCGCCAUCCACGAUCUGGCUGAAGAUGAACUUGUAAGCCGCCUCGGUCAAGUGCACGCCGUCCCAGCUCACGCUCUUGGACGGGUCCUCGCACGACUUCCCCUCCCGGACCAUGCCGUUCACCUCCACCUUAACGCCGCACCCGAUGUCCUUGUUGUAGUUGUACUCGCCGCCGCCGUACCCGCAGCACACGCGUAGAGGGCCCGCAAACCCGAUCUUCUUGGCUUGGCUCAUCAGCCUGUACAUGGCGGUGUACACGUCGACGUAGGUGAAGGCGGCCUCAGGGAGAGCCACCCUUAGCCUGGCCACGGUCUCCUUGAGCCGCGCGUUGAAGAACCGGGGGCCGGCGUUGAGCCCGACGGAGCAGCCGGCGUUGUCCUUGUCGGCGGCGAGGUCCGGGCGGUACGCCAGGGCGUACGGCAGGCACCCGAGCGUUCCCGUGUUAUGCACCCAGAAGUACCUCCCACCGAGGUUAUACACCGUCUGGAUCGCCGACGCGAGCCUCUCCAUGAGGUCGGGGACGUAGGCCUCGACUUGCUCCGUGGUCAUGUUGUCUAGGUAGCCCAUGGCGAGGUCGUUGGCGCCAAUGUCGAAGGUGUAAAGCGCCUUGGAGACCAGGUGCUCGGGUUUCGGCAGGAUCUCGCGGUAGAUUCCACCUGCGGGGAGAUCGAAGAACCUCCGGUAAGAAAUUGUUGAAAAUAUAACGAUUUUUGCAUGGUGAAGUUUCAUUUUCACCUAUGUUGUUGUAGACAAACUGGCUCCUAUUGAUGAACUGCUGGAAUUGCCAGAUCUGCACGUCCAGCGAAAUGGGGCUGUACCCGGAGGUCCACAAGCUCCCGUUCACUCGUCUGAUGGUUCCGGCGGCGCUCGCGAAGUUGGCUCCCUGCGUGAAGUUGCUCCCCAGUGAAUCCAGAUACGCACUCAGGUAACGUAGUCCCAGGCUCUGAGCUGCAGUACAUGCCACGGAAACAAUAUAAAAGAUUCUCCAGUUUUGAGUUGUUUGCUCAGGGGAAAAAAACCUGCUACGCUUGAGAUGUCGUAGAUGGACAUAAACGUACCCAUGAAGUCUAUGGUGAGGCGGCCGUCGCUUUGCCGCCCGGCCGGCAUGCCGAAGAAGGUCCGGCCGUAGGGCGGCUGCACCGCUGGGAAGAGGGCCGGGAAGGCUCCGGUGUCCGAGUAGGAGUCGCCGAAGUUGAAGAUCGCCGGAAAGCCGCACGGGGAAUCAUCCGAGCGCACCCUCUGCAGUACCACCAGCAACACGACGAAGGCGAUGAGUUUGUUGAUCGCCAUGAUGGUGCGACGGCGAGGAGAAGCGGCUGAAACGGUGUCCGUGACGGUGAAGUGGCUGGGAGAGGAUUUAGACACGCCGGCAAGGUGGUCAGAGUCUAGCACCCGUGUUGGACUGGUGCUCCGACCUGAUCCUAAAGUGAUGGGAAUAGCUACGUCUUGUUGACAAGUAUCAUAGCCUGAUGUUCAUGCACCACCCUCCGAGAGUGACGGGCCAUCACCGGCCGUUUGCGUGGCACGUUGGGACAAGCAACUACUAGGCGUGCUUGACCUUUUUUUUAGAUAAGCGUGCUUGACCCUUGAUUGCUCUCUAGCACAGUAUUUGAUGUGGUUAUUACUACUUCUGUCUGAGAAAUUGCACAGAGCAAAGAAAAAAAAAAGAGUACUGACGCUAGAUGCGGAUUUUUGGCUCUCGGGGGACACGUGCCCCCUAUAUCCGAACGGUGAUGUGGCGCGCCUGGCAUCCCUUGGCAGCAGGGCGGUGUUUCUCCUUAUGGUCGACCCGAGCAUGUCGUCAGGCUGCACGCUGUCGAUGAUCCAGCUCGUAAGUGACCCCAUCGAAUACAAGGAUUUUAAAUACAAGAUCCAGGUGUUUACUGUGAUAAGGACUCAUUACUCCGCUUGAAUUACUCACAGAUACAUGUUACAAAGUGUUGGGGAAGAAUAAGUUUCAGCCGCCACCGGUUAAGUCUGAUCUCAACCAGGAUAGCUUUUUUAUAGGGUUAGGAUAGCUUGUUCCUUGCGUUUUCUCUUGUAUAUGUAGUUGUGUGUCGUUGGGAGCUGGUGGUGGACUAGGCCUUGAUCUGUCUUUUGCCCGCACAGUGGACGGUCGCUAAAACCCCUCUCUUCUUGAAAUAUGCCAAAAUCGCCAUGGUAGUUGUUACAAUAGUAACCAUCAUUGAGGUCGACUUGAACAUGAUCAAAGGGGAAGGCAUCCUCGAUAUAGUAGUCGUGCCGUUGGGGACUUGCUCGAAGAAGGUGUCGAGGUAGUGGUGGUGGACGACAUAGACUUGAUCGGAGUAAUAGUAGGCUUAGUCGAAGCAGCAACAACGUCUGUGAAAAAAGUUCAUCAUUUCUUGGCUAUGAGCAACUUCUAACACUUACCCGUAAAAUAGAACUUCUAACACUCCUCCCUCCAUGAAACUCUCUUUGCCCCUAAGAUGAAUCUUUGAGGGAGAUCGAAGGUUAUCUCUCGGGGAUCCCAUGGAUUGUGAAGUUCCUUGAUCUUGUUUGGGUCAGCGUGGAAGUCUUCCUAGUAGGGACGAGGUUAGUGUAGUGACUGUAGUCUUGGUCAUGGUAGUGAUCUUCGUCAAAGUAGUAGCCGUAACCGAGCUUAACAUGGUCAGAAAAGGCCGCAUGAAACAUAGCUUUGCAAAGGAGUAGAGGCAGCCGAGAUGGACAAAGAGUGUUAAUUUCAGUCGAGACGGAUUGCUCUCUCACCCCACAAUCGUAUCAGGCAAAGACCACUUCUAUAAAUAUAAUAAAACUAGGAGAAAAUGUGUUCCUGCACCAGUGAGAAGAUUUGUUCCUCCAAAGUCCACACAGUCCAGCAUCAGGAUGACGCCGAGCUACCAAAUGUUGCUCGACCGAAGCAGUUGGGAAGCAUCAUCGCCCAGGAUGAUGACACCUAUGUCGUGAGCCAGGAUCUCGCCGUGAUGAGAAAUUGAGACGGAAGGGUUGACACAUCGUUUCAAGGGAGAAAUGAGGGCUCCAUUGUAUAUCUCCAGCCGAAGUAAAGUGGCCAUGACCAUAUCGGCACACGACAUAACUCUCAUUACCGAACAACCAAACUUAAGCCAACACACGUAUCAGAACAAGGAAUAGUUACGGGAGUGGGAGGCGGCGGGAUAAGCUCCUCAAGAUACUAUUAAAUUGGACAUGUGUUUUUCCCAAAAAGAAAAUUUGGACAUGUGUUUCAUGUCCAUAAUUACUACUUAGGACCAAGGGGCUCUUUUGACUUAAAUGAUUUUUAUAGAAAUUUUAGAGGAUGAGAAUCCUUAGAAUUUUUGUUCUUAUAUUGACUGUUUGAUUCAUUUAAUUGAACACAAUAGGAUUUUUUUUUCCAAAGAUUAUUUUGUACAACAUUCAAUAAAACUAAAAGAAAUGCCCUGCAAAAAAAACAUUCAAUAAAAAAUUAGUAUCCUCUCAAACCUUUUAGAAAGAAUCUUUGCUUUUCCAGCGAUGGAGUUAAAGAAACAAAAUCUAGGAUUGAGAUAAAUAUGACAUGUCAAUCCUAUAUUUUUCCAUCCUAAAAAAUCCUAUAUUUUUUCCUAUUUCCAUUUUCACGUUUUUAGGAUCCCGCGAAUCAAAAGGCCGUAGAAGAGCAAGAAAUAUCUUCAAUAAAAAGGUUUCCCAAACGUCCUACGGAGGCCACGGAGAAGAGAUUUCGUUCUCCAUUUGGGAAAACCACAGAGAACUCGACGGGAGCUGGAUUUGGGAGGACGGAGCGGGAGAUCGAUCGACGGAGCAUCCAUCCAUCCAUCCACCAUGGCCAAGGUGAAUGCCUCCCACGCAUUUCUCUCUCUGAUGAAAUCCCCGUCCAGUUUACCUUCCAGCAGCCGCCGCCGCGAUUCACCGCGCGCGGACCUGAAUGGGGUUGCCCGCUUAGGCGGGUGGCGGCGGCCUGAAGGGGAGGCGGGGCUCGUGGAGGUGGAAGUGGCAGCCGUGGUAGCGAACGGCGGCGGCGGCGGCGGCCGGGUGUUUAGGGUUUGGGGGAAAACUGAGUGAAGCGCGCGCGCUCGCAUUUGAAGCGAUUUUGCAGAUGGUAUCGCGAGAAUGCUGGUUGCCAUGGUCUGAUCCAAGAUUAUCUUGGUUUUCUAACUGGACAUUUUGGUGUGGUGCCCUGUAUCAAAUUUUCGAUCUGAAACUUCUGAAACUGAUGGAUCGGCCAUACAUGCUUUUCUGCCUCAUUCACUGUCAUACAUGGCCAUCUCUAUUACCGGUCAGUAACUUUGCGUUUCGCUGUGAGCAAUCUGCAGAAGGCUGGUGCGGAGAGGGACGCGGCGGCGGAGAGCUGUGCCCAAAAGAAGGCUAGGAUCGAGUACGAGGCCAAGGCUGCGGCGUCGAAGAUCACCGUCAACUUAGACCACAAGUUGCUGGAGUGCUCCGCUUGCUGCAGCCCGUUGGCUCCACCCCUUUUCCAGGUACCAAACAGGACCCUGUAGUUGACAGACUAGUAUUCCCUUGUUGAAUGUUUACUCCAUUUUACUAGAUUCAGUUAUACCCUGCAAUUUGUUUUUACAAAGGUUGUACCCUGCAGUUUAGCUCUGUGUUACGAGGUAUUGACCAUCUGUAUGUUGAUAUUGAUGUAUCCGAUAGGUCACUUGCAGCAAAUCUUGCAUCAAUUAGUAUGCUCCUCCUAGACUUCUGAUUCUUUUUCUUCUGAAUUCAGUACAACUGGUUCCAAUGUUACUAGUGAAGUUGAUAAAAUUAAGAUGUGGACAGAUUGGUCACAACUCAUUUAGUUAUGUCUUUGACAAGAGCAAUAUGCAAAUCAGUUUGUCUAAUUCACAUCUAGAUGUUUUCCAAGGAUGUCACAUCUAAGCUCCCACAAAUAACACAUCAACAUGGAACAAAAAAAAAAGUUGGGACAAACGAAAAUAGACCACAAACAUAGUAUGAUGCAUUACCUAUCUUGGCCUAUGCGCUAUCAACUCUCUGGAUCACUGGGUGGACCUAGAUUCAACGAACUGUUACUGGCAUGAAAGCCAUAUGUAAAGUGUAGUAGCUGAGUAUGAGCCAAAGUUUAGGAAGGCCAUUAUUAAGCAACAGAUAAACACUACGUGCGUGAAGAUGCUAUGUUUUGCAUCACAAUCAUAGAACUACUGUAGAUAUUAUGGCACAAAACUGGCACAGCAGUGGUAAUCCAAUGCUGUUUCAUGCUUGUGCACUUCUCCUGUUUCUGACAGUUUCAGUAAAAUCUGUAUGUUUCUGUUUCUCUGUUUUUGUCUGCAGUGCACAAAUGGCCACAUCGCAUGCUCAGAGUGCCGCACCAAUGCGGAGUACAGUUGCAGCUUCUGUGCCGAGCCGGCCAACACCCGCUGCGACAUCAUGGAGCGCGUACUUGGCGGCAUGACAGCGCCGUGCUCGUUCCGGGAGUUUGGCUGCUCCGCGACGAUCCCGUUCACGAAGAAGCUGACCCAGGAAGAGUCCUGCCUUCAUGCCCCGUGCCACUGCCCCAUCCCCUACUGCCGCCUCUACGCCAACCGUGGCCAGUGCCUGCGCGAGCACAUCGAGACGAAGCACUGCUUGGUCCCAUACGGGGAUGCCACAGCCGGCAGCCUUUCCCCUGUGAGGGUGUGCGACAGUGAGCCGGCGCGCCUGGUGUUCCUGGACGCCAGGGCGGUGUUCCUGCUGGUGGUUGAGCGGAGCGGGCCGUCGGGGCGUGCCGUGUCGGUGGUCCAGCUCGUCAGCGAGCCAGUGAAGGAGGAGGAGGAGAAGGAUUUCAAGUACAAGAUCCAGGUGCAUACGCGAGCAGGCGUCCUCUCUCUGUCCGGCGAGACGCAGAGCGUCGGGCGACUGAUGAGGCCUUACCAGGCAGCCGCGUCGCUGUUCGUCUCGGAUGACGUGUGGUCUCCCCAGGAUUCUCCGGUGUACCUCGAGUUUAAAUGAAUCUGGAUAAGCUGUAUGCCGUUCAGUUGGCAAACCUAUCCCAUCUGGUAGGAGAAUUCAGAGACUCCAUUCUGUUUGUGCUCUUGUCAGCUGUGCCCUUCUGGUUGCUGCGAUUAUCUUAUCUCUGUUGUUUUUCGAACAUUCAGAUGUUCAGUGUUCUUGUCAGCUUUUGAACCUGAACAGUGAGUUCGUUCUACAAAAUGGGUAGUGUUACUGAACAAGAAUGUAGGCAGCUGUUCUGAAUUUACUCAAAACUUGUCUGGAAAAAAAUCGAUGCUAAAAGAUGCUUCAAGAAGUAGUCCUUUUUUAGGAUUGAUUUUUUUGUUUUGUUUUUCGGCAAGACCUCCAUGAUACUGCUACCUUCAUAGAGUAGUGAAAGCUAAUCCUUGGACAGUGCAGAUUUGUGAGGUGUUUGGUUCCAUGAGCACUUCUUUUUAUCCAACAGUGUGUUUGCAGUUGAUGAAUGUAUGCAACUGUGCAUGCAUGUAUUUUUCGUUCAGCUUUCGAACUUGAAAUUUAUUGAUUAAUGUUGGUUCUACAAAUACAAAUACAAACUGUGUAGCACGAUGGAUGCCUGUUGGAUAUGUCUGAAGAAUGCAUACAACUGUUCUGAAUGUACUCAACACUUGGAACAGCAGAUUGCAGCUAGGUGCUGCUGCUGCUGCUUAAUGGACGGAGGGUGGUGUUGUUUCGCUGGAAGAGAGGUGUGGAAUUGCAGAGCGGAUGUGAUGGGAAAAAGGGGGCGAGAUUAUAUAGGAGGAAGGAGGUCAGCUCUGAAUGGUGGAUGAUUGAUGCCUCGGAUAAGUGACAUGGCCAAAAUUGGGUUGUAAAUUUGGGGAGUAAGGGCCAUCUUGAAUGUAAGAUGGCUAGAUAGGCACUUAGGGAAAUAAAUAAAACAAAUCUCAUAAAAUCUGACCGCUUAGCCUACUCAUAGUGGGGACUAUCGUAUAUUAGUAUCGAUACUGGUGUAUGAUACUAUCUUCAUAGUGCAUACUAUCAUAGAUUAGUAUCACAAAUCAUCUUAUUUUUGCCACGCAUGACACAUAGUAGUAUAACAUUUAUUAUGAUAGGUAUCUACCUAUGUUACUUUAACCCUCUCUCCUUUAAUUGUCUGCCACAUCAGCGUGUUUUCUAGUCCCGAGUGCAUGAUACCGGCUAAGGUACCACCACUAUGGCCAGCCUUAUUGUUACAACGUUGAGCGGUAAUUACGGGGCGCUUAGGGGACUGGUUGUUUCACGCAGCGCUCCAUCUCGUGCGAGAAAACAGCACAAGCGCUCGACUCCUUUUCUUGUGUAGAUGCCGCACCUAGCACCAGGAUUGAAUGGCCCAACUGCACCUUCGACGAGGAAUUGAAUCAUGGCGCCAAUGCUAACGCCCAGCGUUAUAUAGGCCCUAAGCGCAUCUACAACGCCGGGCGCUAGGCCCAGACACUAGUAUUAAUAUCCUACUGAAUUGGCAGUUAGACUAACUAAUCCUAGCGUCUUAUAGAGAGAUUCUUAUAAAGUCGGUAGCCAAGGCAAUGCCCUCUUAUGCUAUGGCAGUGUUUAAAUUGCCAAAAGAAUUUGCAAGCCUAUUACCGAUGAAAUUUCGGGGUUUUGGUGGGGAGACAAUGAAGAGCAAAAGAAGAUGCAUUGGUUCGCGUGAUGGAAAUUGUAUAUUCCAAAGAGAAAGGGGGGCCGGGGUUAGGGACCUUCACAGUUUUACUUUUGCUAUGUUAGCAAAACAGUGUUGGCGGCUGAUCCAAAAUCCAAACUCUUUGUGUGCACAAGUCCCGCGAUCUAAAUACUAUCCACAUUGAAAUAUUCUUAAAGCUGGACAUGAGAAAGGGUCGGCUUACACUUGAUAGAGUAUCAUAGCGGGUAUUCAAACUUUUCAGCGAGGGUGCAUAUAAAGGGUUGGCUCUGGAUCACAAAUAAAAAUAUGGCAAGACCCAUUGAUUCCUACAAGCGCAUAGUGGAGAAUUAUUACGCCUAGGGGUGGGACUACGUUGUCUAACGUAGAAGAACUCAUUGACCCCAGUUUGGUAAUUGGGAUGAAGAUCUCAUACGUGAUGUAUGCUCAAAGAUGGAUGUUCAAAGAAUCUUACAAAUCCCAUUGCAUGCUCAAAUGAAUGAGGAUUUCAUUGCAUGGAACUAUACUCAUUCCGGCACGUUUUCGAUCCGGUCUGCAUGUUAUAGAGAGCUAGACCAUCAGUUUGGUUCCAUGUUGACAAGGCUAGUGAGCAUAUUAAUCAUGCUUGGAAAGAUAUAUGGCGGUUACAUGUGCCUGGGAAAGUCAAACACUUAAUUUGCUUGAAAGGUGCUACAUUGAGUCCUACCUAUGGAGCUUUGGCAGCCCUACACAUACCUUGUUCACCCCAAUGCCCAUGAUGUUUGGUGGGUGCCGAAGACUUGCAGCACUGUAUCUUCAAAUGUCGUUGUGUGAAAGAAGUGUGGUCUCAGCUGGGACUUCUAAAUGCCAUUCAAAGAGCAACUGAUGCGGACAGACCAGACUCAGUCACUAUGAAGAUCUUAUCAAAGCUUGAUGUUGUCUCAGACGGACUACCUGUGGUUGAUCUGGCUGUUGUGCCGGCAUGGUACCUUUGGUGGCAACGACGGCAACUUGUGAAAGGAAUCGUGAUUCAAAAUCAUGAGAAAACGACAUUGUCUAUUCGUGUCCUAGCUACAUAUUACAUCAAAUCAAUGUCUCCAAAGCUCCUGACUCGGAAGAAAGAACAUAUGCGGCAAAAACCGUCUCAUGGACUGGCCAAGGUUAAUGUAGAUGCAUCAUUUCAUGUGGAUACUUUAUCUCGAGGCUGCGGUGCUGUCGUGCGUGAUGAAUGGGGAGACUUUCUAGCGGCACUGCCUUGGUUUCUUCCGCAUAUCCGAGAUGUUGAUUCAGCGGUGCUCAUGGCAAUUAGAAAUGGAAUACACAUGUUGGCAAAUUUGGGGUGCAACAAUGUGAAGAUUGAAUCCGAUUGCUCGUUUGCGGUGGAGCAAUUCAGCUAAUAGACUCUGUUAGAAUUAAAACGAGGUGCAUCGUCAAUCUACCAAGGACCAAGCAAUCACACAAGCACGACAUCGAGAUUUUUUAAUGAGGUUCACUGAUAUGGCUACAUCCCCGAGGCCUGACUACGGGCGCUCCUCCCCAUGACACCGCUACAAUAGCGCACCCCGGCCGCCCGGACACCGGCACACGCCGUCGGCACCCCUGCGUGCCUGUGCUAUUAUGUUGGCAUAUAUGUUACAUCAUGUGUCUACCCUCGCUAUAUAUGAGAGGCCUAGGAUACAAGUGUCCUAUUAGGACACAACUCCUACCCUAUCUACACACAGUUCAAAACCAAGUCCAACUGUAACCUACCUUGUACAACAAUAUUCGACACAACUCUAACAAACUCCACCUUGGCGAAUAUUCUUCACCAUCUUGGAUUCAUACAUGCGUCGAACCUCCAUGUACAUUGGAAUGGAGAUAUGCCAUGAGCAUCACUGCUACUCCCAGACUUCAUAUGACUCCACCUGCAACUGUAGUCCCUUCUUGUCUUCUUCGCAGUCAACAGUCGAGCAAAAUUAAGUUCCUCUUUACUCUACUUUGUGGUCCCAACCUCCGGAGUAUCCUCUCAACGCCAUCACACCGAUAACUGAUCUGCGUGAAAGUGAACAACUCACAUAUUGGACGUCACAUAUAAGAGUUACCUGAACUCAACGUCACCGCUCUUUCUUGACUGUUGUCUGAAACUUGAAGGAAUUUCACCGUCGCCCUGUGUCACCCUGAGUCAAGUUCACAGUUGUCUCAUCCUUUUUCCGGAUAGUCUCUUACAUGUCCCACAGCUAUAGCACUCCGCCUCCUUCUGUAUUUGUCAUCCUCACUUUGCCAUGUGUACCGAACACCACAGAAUAUAUGGCCAUGUACUCUCUCAGCUUUUGACAAUUUCAGACUCUCCGUCACUUUCUCAGAUUCUCCAUGGUCAACUCCUGUCCAUCUUCUGGCACAGAUAGACCCAGUGACCAACUUGAAUCCGGUACUCGUCAACACUACUUUAGCACCCCCUGCACAAUUUGUCUGGCCACAUGUCUGACCACCAGUGCCUUGGCCUGUCGCCGUGUCCCGUGCUUACCGCACGCCUCGCCGCUAUCACCGCGUCGAGCCUCUGCUGUCCUGGUCGAGUCUUCCGGGUAGUUAGCCCCCCACUGCCUCAACCCCCACUGCAGAGAACCGUCGAUCAUCACCGACCGAUGCCGAGUAUCAUGUCUCCAUCAGACCACAGGUACCCAGUCUGAACCAUGUGUCUCUCGCAUUCCCGCUGAAAUAGGCUACGAUUCUCCGGAUCCUUGCGCCGUAGCCCCUCUAUCAGCAUAGAGUGAAAUCUUUCGCUAGACUCCAGCUCCACCUUCAACAUGACUCCAUGUAGCCGCGCCUUGCUACCCCACGCCUUGUUGACUUUAAACUCUCUCAUGUGUGCACCAUCUUGAAUCAACACCGCGUCAUAGUCUGUUGAAGCCGCACAAGCCCUCAGGCCUGCACCACAUGUUUUCACGCCCCAGAAGUUGGCCACCUUCAGCAUCACGCUCCUAUGUCGUUGUUGCUGAAAUCACCGCCACCUUCUGUCCAACCGACAUCCCUGUCGACCCAUCAGACUGUCAUGUCCGACACUAGCCGUGUAUGUCCGACGCAACCAUGCUUCACCCUGCGCCGUGUCCGCCCCGCAUAUCUCCGUGCAUUGCUUGACGCCCUGCGUAUGCAUGAUCUUGCCACGACAUGAUCCAAACUUCUCCAACCCUUAUACGCAUGUCGCCCGUCCCUUUGUCGUACACACUCCGAGCACUUCCGCAAACUUACCAACAUGAAAACUAUCCUUGCAGACUUGACCGCUAGUACUUCGGUGUGUAUGCUGCAGACCCUUUUUUUUCAGAACAAGUCCCGCCUGGGCACUGCGCCCAGCCAUGUUGGAUACUGCAAUCCUCACAGUACAAUCCUAAUUAAGGUGCCAUCAGCAAACCGAACACAAAGAUUCGUUCUUCUAUUCAAGAUUGCCCAAACCUUUAACCAGUGCGUCUGCAAUCCAAAUCCUGCAUGCUUUUCCAUCGGACUUGCUCCAAUUUUCUAUUAACAAAUCUCACACAAAACAUGCACGCCUUGCCAGCUCAUUGCCAAUCUUCAACGAUGUAGCGCCUGGCCACCACGUGCUAGCAGCCGUCCUCGUUCAGGUCAUCACGGAAAAUAUUUUUUUUAUAAUGUGCAUAUUUAUAAAAAGAAAUUGAUGUUUCCAAUUUUUUUUUCAAAUUUUAAAAGAUGUUCUUCUUUCAAAUUUUGUUCACGUUUUCCCAAAAGUGUACUUAAUUUUCAAAAGAAUAUUUAGAAUUUAAAAAAAUGGUUCAUGUUUGCUAGAAUAUUCAGAAACUUCAUACCAUAAAAUCCCCUCGAUUGAAAGAAAAGAUAGAUUGAAUAAUUAAAGGGCCGUCUCUGGCGUACGAUGAAGUAAUGAAACUCCUAAAUGUCUUCUAUCAAUGAAGGGAAAAAUAACGGAUUGAUUACUUCACAAGCGGCAAAACUGAGAAGCUAAAUUUUCCUUUUUCGCGUGCACACAGGUUUUGCUUGCACAUAUAUUUUUCACUAAAUUUAAAUGCAUACUAUAUUUUUUCUCGUUGCAGCGCACGGGUAUAUGUGCCACUCCUAUGAAUAUGAAUAGAAAAGAAGAUACUUUUCAUAGGAUUUUUUCAUUGAGUCUAGCCUAAUGUUUGUUUCCUUGUGAAAUGCCGGAGGAUAGAAAGAAUUUCCAUGCCUACAAAUCAAAGGGUUGUAAAGAAUUUUUUUUCCUAUAGAAAUCAUAUCAUAUGGAAUCCUAUAUACCUUUUUUUAGAACGAAGACGCCAUAUGCGUCCGGCUUAAAUUAAUAAAGCCCCAAUGGCGGAGUAGCACACCAACCAGUCUUAAAAGAAUCCUAUAUACCUAAGAGAAUCAUCCCCACUAUCCUAUUUAUCUUGACAUGCAACGUAUCUACAUCAUCAAGUAGGUCCACCAUCUAAAAACUCUUUCCCACUAACUUUUCAUGCACAUACUCCCACUAACUCUUCAAGCACAUGCUAACCAUUAAUUAUUUUUUUGUGCACUCUCAAGCAGCCACGUCAUUCUAGGUUUCUCUUGCUAUCCAACAGCAGGCCUCAUGAUUUAUAAGCGACUUUUUUAUAUAGAAAAUCAAAUUAUGAGGUAACUCACAUUUUUUUCCAUGCGACCAACUUUUAUUUAUGAAUGCACAUCUGUAUUUGCUACAUUGUUUUAGGUUUAGUCAAGGGUGGAGAUGUCUCCACUAUCUCUACUCAAAGUUGUAUUGUCAAUAAAUUAACAGAACAAAACUCACACUCAUUUUUUUGUCUAAUAUUCUUAGAUGCCCUAAACAAUACAUCUUUCAAAAAAAUUGUCAUCAAAUUAUACUAUGUUUCAUAAAUUUUCUCAUGUUUUAAAACAUCGUCAAAUUAUUUAUUAACAGUUCACGCAGCAACGCGCGAGACAUCAUCUAGUUCCAAUACAAUUCCUCCCGACCAAAGGGGGAAGCAGGAUAAUAAUAGGUCGUUGAGAUUUCCGCCGCGCUCAACACGCUUGGGGGCGGGGGCUGGGGUGAAUGGGGGCAGCUGCUCUCGUGAUCGGCCCAUCGGUGGUACGGCGUCAUGGCGGCGCACCCGCGCGAGGCGUUGGUGCACCGGACCCGGACCGACUCCAGCAUGCGCUCCACCGUGAAGCAGCGACUAUACUCCGGCGACGGACCAAAAUGUGGCAUCUUGGUAACCUCGUCGUAGCAACAAAAGCAUACAAGCUUCCCAGCCGUGUCCUGCAGCAGCAAAUUGAAACGAAACGAAUUCGGGUGAAGAUGCCGAUCGAUCAGUCGAUGUUGGAUUUUCUUUCAGCGAUACGCACGGCACGAACCUGGUAGACUGGAGGCUUGAGGGGUUGCGAGCAUCUGGGGCAGUUGAAAGCUACCAGAUCCAUGGUCGCGUUGCUGGCCUCCUCCUUCCCCGGCACCCGCCUGGUCAUCUUGGACUUGGAGAUCUUCCGUUUUUAGUCUAGCUUUUGCUUGGCAGUUGGCACUGGAGCUGAACGUUUGGGUCGCUAGAGUACCCAGUAGUAUAUAUACUCCUGGUCGCGUGGUAGUCCAAGAAGCCAAGGAGAAUUCUAGUCUUUCGACUUCCACUCGACCCCACUUCCCCAUGCACUAAUUCCAAGCAAAAAGUAAUGGCUGUAGCGAGAAGCAAGGAGGCGGCUGCGCAGGACUUAAUAAGCCCUUUCACCCGUACCUUUCCGGUUCACAUCACAAUAUUCGUUGUCAAUUUGAAAAAUGUAUGUUGUGUAUUGCAAAAGUUGAUCGUGUACUUAAAAAAGAGGCAAAUACACCACCGGUAAUACUUGAACUAAAAGAUCCGACCAACUUCAAGGUUAUUCAUGCCAACUUCAAGCACCAGUGAUGUAUUUACCUCUCUAAAAAAAACAGUGUACAUUGAUAUUAUUCAUGUAUAAAAUUAUAUUUGUAAAUUAAAAACAGAAACUAGAAAAGAGAAAGGGAAAUCCCAAAACCAAUUGAAAUGGAUGCAACAAAUAUAACGUCGUUACCACGCAACAAAUAUAGAAAAUUCAUGCAUGAUUUCCGUACUCAAAUUGGUUAAUGCACAACUUAUGACAAUUUGAGUUACUUUUGAGCAAGUUAGGUGCAAGUCGGUGUUAUUUUGGGGGCUGGAUUGUACAUUCUUAUCCCAAAUGCAUAUCAAACCAAGAAGAAACUUGGAUGCACAAAUUUGUGUACUAUGCAAACCGCAUAUAAAACAGAUAAAAGAAUUAACCACACUUUAUGCAAGUUGAGAUGUCCAGAUGAUGUGUCGGUACUAAAAGCAAAUUAAGCAUUAUGAUGAUAGCUGACGGUUGAAACCACAAAUGUGAAAAACAUAUGGCCACAAAAGAACGAACAAAUGAUCAAUGUUAACGAGUCAAGGAAAAAAACACCUAAAAUUUUUAUAUAUUUUGGAAUUAUCAAUUUCACACAUUGAUAAUUAUUACUUCUAUUUAUUUAUACCUAAAACAGACACUCAUGCACUCUAGAAACCUCUGCUAACUUAGAGAUCUUUACCAUGUUAUUUAAAGACACCGGGACACCAGCAAAUAGAUACGUCUGUAGUUGAUCUAAGUGGCACAAAUUAAUCUACGAAGACAAUAUGAUUUUACCUUUUAUUUAUUAAUAUCUAAUCAGCGGGAAGUUGGUAUAUAUAGCUAAGUGUUUUGAAGGGCAUGUGCAUUGAGAAGGAAACAACACAACUUUUUCACACAACAUAUGUCUUAUAUUUAGUACAAGUUUAUUUUGCAUAUAAUGUCAACAUUGUGUCAUAAUAUUUAAUACUAUUAUUAUGUAUUAUUUUGUAUAUAGUAAAAAUUAAGUUAUAUUAAUGUCGAGUAUAAAUAAGUAACUUUUUUACUAUAAAUAGAUGUUAUACUAUAACAAAUUACUAUAUACAAAAGUACUAUGUAUAAAACUUCGAGCAAUACUUGUGUUAACACAGAAAAACUCCGACAUGUAGACAAACACAAAAAUUGCACGUUAGAAAGUAAAUCCUUGAGAUAUACAUUGAAAGAUUGUAUACUCAUCCAUCCCUGCUUUCAGCACACAGUUAGUUCAAAAAUAAAUACAGACUACAUAUCAAACAUGCUAAUUAAGCACAGAAAAAUAAGCAUUCAAUUAAUCAUAAAUUCCUACUUUUACGUGCCUAGACCAUCCCCUUAGUUAAACCCACAUUAGUGUUUAUUCUUUUUUUCCUCUUAUUCUUUUUUUUCCUAAACCCUGGCUCUGAUGCCAAUAAAAUUGUCACGCCCCAAGUGAGUCUUAGCCGUGACAAUCGCCACAUGCUUAUAAAUCUGAUUUAUAAGCAUGUUAGGCUAGUAAACAAAUUAUUUUCUAAUAUGCAGAAGAGCCAACUUUAUUCAUUACUAGCUAUUACAAAGGUUAUGAUACAUGCAACUCCUUUAUUUAUUCCCAACCCGUAGAGCUACUCCUACUGUUCAUCAUUCUCAUCAGCACAUCCAUCAUUUGCUACUUCUGCAAAAUCAACAACAAUAGCAAGAAUGAGUAUGAUCUCAUACUCAGCAAGCACACGGAUACAAAGGAACUUCUCUCGGCAAAAGUGACAAAACACAAGGGCUAGUUGUAAAAAAAAGAGUUUGAUGGCACAGGAAGAUAAUGGAGAUUAAUUUAAAGAAAAGAAAAGAAAUAACUGGCAUCACAUAUGACCGCAAACUUCCCAACCCGGGAGUCACAGGGGUGAAAUUUCACACUUUUAUGCUCUUAAGAGGGGUACUCUGACGUCGACAGCCUCGACUAGAACCACACAGGCGCUAGUAGAGCAGAGCUCUUUAUUCCCCCAAGAACCGACCACUCGACUUACUAGUGUCGAUCGCUCCUACGGAUCCAUCAUCGACACGCUUCCGAACGAGUGGCGUUCUUAGCGGAGAACUCAGACAGUCCCAUACCUGAACUGUGACCGGUACAAUACGUCUGCCGUCGUGAUACCAUAUUUUUAUAAAAUUUACUAGACAAAGAUUAGCAAGAGGAAAUACAUGCAAGACCAAGAUAAAUAUCUCUAGGCUUUUCACAGAACCAACCAUCCAUGCAUGAGCCAUUAAUCCAUGUGCUCACAUGCAUGUACCAAUGAUUUCUCCACCGUGAUCAUAAACCAAAAAGGUAGUACUGUGGUAUGCAUGCUAGCUUCAAGAGAUGUACAGGAAUCAAAUCAUACGAACAGUGCACAUUAUAGAGCUUGAGAAGUACUACUAGAUGUAGAGCAUGGCAUGAAUAGUGAGACAAACAAGGAAUAGGACAGCUAGAAAGGCUAGAUGGAACGCAUGCUUGCCUGACUCGCUGGCUCGCUGCUUCCUCCGAGCGCUCUUGCCGAUCAGUGUGAUUCUACUCCAUGCAAAGCUAGCUAGUGCACUGGUUUGUAUGUUGGGAUGAGUACUACAGCGUGCUCUUGCCCAUCUAUUUAUAGGCAUGGUAGGGUAGGGAAUGGAGCUGGAUAAGUGUAACUCAGCAGCCUCGGUGUCUCUAGUUUUACAGCUGUUUGUACUUUUACAUUACACGUGCCUAGCUGACUCCAACAGAGCAUUAAAUGCUACAGAUAAGUGCAAACUUGAGCUGCUAAAUAUCUUGUACCACACCCACACAUGGCCCUCCUACUCGAAGGCUCUACAAGCAUGUUCUUGUAAUGCAUAUCCUUCCACACUAAGGAAUUAAGUUGACUACUCUUACUUGGUACUAACCAAUGAUUGCCAAUGAUUGAUUUUAUCUAAUUAAGCUUAUAAUUACUACUCCAACAUUCUGCUAAUUUUGUUAAUUUACCAAAAUACAAGAUCUUAUUUAUACUAAUAAACACGGGUAUUACAUGUUACAUGUGACUGUUCUGGCCAAGUUUAGUCUAAAUCUAACUGAUGUCGCUUCUGCAGUGAAAGCACUGAAACAGAAGCUCAUCUUCUCAUUGGCUGCCGCUAUAAACUUCCCAUUAUGAUCACAUAUAAUAGCACCGACAGUCCCUUCUAGUUGAUUCUUAUCGAAGCCGGCAUCAACAUUCAAUUUUAUAUAACCUGUCCUGGGUUUCAUCCAAGCAAUUUUGCGUAUUUUUGCUUUUGGACCGCAUGCGAUAACAAAGUUUGCGGUCAACCCUAUGAUCGCUAGGUGGAUUUACGCCGCACUUUGUGUUUGUUCACCGUGGGUAAGUUUACUUUGUCCAUACGACAAAUCGACAAGUACCAAGCAGCAGUCACCAUGGUUUCUCGCAAGUUUUGCAGACCUAGGACAUGCACGUCGUGUUCUUUGAGACACAACAAAAGCUCCAAAAUUGUUUCUCCCGCUAGAUAUGUUCUGCAUGUUUUUUUUUUAAUAAUAUCAUGAAUCCCUAGAAAUUUCCACACUGUCGCAACCUUGUGGCACUCAAAGAGCAGGUGCUUCAAGCUAUCAGGACCAACAUUGCAAGCUGGGCAAGUACCUUUACCUUCAAGUGUUUUGCAGCUAAACACCCCUGUGCGUCAACUUUUUUUUUUGAGAAACCCUUGUGCGUCAGCUAGGGGUGCCUUCGCUAAAAAAACAAAUGGGCUGGCCCACUUUGCCAUGGGAGCUGCUUUUUAUUUGAAUUUCUUGUUGUUUUUUCAAAAAAAAAACUGUUUAUAUUUCUUUGCAGCUGGAUAUAUUUUUAUAACAAUAGAAAAAAUGUACUCCCUCUGAAAACUAAUAUAAGACGAGCAUUUAUAUCACCAAGAUAGUGAUUUAAACACUCUUAUAUUAGUUUACGGAUGGAGUAAAAAAAUGGUAGUGUUAUAUAAAAAAGUUCAGUAUAUAUAAAAAUAAAGUUCACCCUAUAUUAAUAAAAUAGUGUGUAUUUAAAAGUUUUCCAUUGUAUAAUAAAACCCCAUAUAUAUACAAUGUGUAUUAGGAUAAUAGUUCAGUGUGUAUUGUAAAAAAAUCACCAUAUAUUGCAAAACCUAUAUAAAAGGAGAAAUGUGCAAAAAUAAUAAAGAAUAGAAGAAACCCAAGAUCUGAAAAUGAGAAACAUAAAAAAUAAAAGGAAAAAACCAAAACAAAAAAUGACACACACAAAACAAUGGAAAAAGGAAACAACCGAAAAAAUCGGCGAAAAAGGCGUGCCUGUCUGGAGGCUGGUUUAGCGAAAUCUUGAUUAUAUGCCGCCUGCGGGCGGCAUAUAGGACUGGCUGUUGUGUGCCUCAUUAAUGUUGGGAUGGCUUACUGUGAAUUCAGGAUUAGGAGGUAGUCUUGAACCUAGCUAGUAGACUGCACAACCGCAUGCCUAAACAAUUGAGCCGAGGUUGCAUAUUUUGUCUAGUUAUUAAGCUUCGACAAACAACUAGAUGCAUGUAGUUGAGCUAUAUAGAGCUUUUGAAACUGAACUUUGUUAAUUCGUUUGAGUUGAGUUGGGUCCAAAGUAUGCUCUAGGGUGUGAUUGUCGCCUUCUUUUCAAGCGACCCCUUCCUCUUCAUGUCUUUGCUGGUCCUUGCAGCGCCACCCUCCUCUUUCUCUUCCCACCAACUCCUCGCAUGACCGCCGUGUAAAUUUAGUUCAAACAUUCUGGUUUUCUCGGGGGAAAAGCUAUUUAAAUGCAAGAAACUAAAGUAAAAAAAGGUAAAGUCAUAGAACUUGCACGCGACGGUUAGUUUGGUGCAUAAACUUUUAAAAUACGUGUUUUUGGUCAUCUAACUUGUCCUUCCGUUCAUAUACGGUGCUUUCUACCGUAUUUCGGCCAUAUCAUGUGCACACAUGGCGUGCCAACAUGGUAGGGGCCCACUGUCAGUGGCUGCGGCGGUGGGUAAUCCGCGUCCACUGUUUUUUUUUCAGAAAUCACGCCUGCAUUUCAUUUAUUUAUGCAGAAAAACCUCAAAAAAAUGAAAAAUGCUGGAGCAGCAAUAGUAUUCGAACAUACGGCCUGCUACAAUUCGCCUCACUUAGAUAGCCACUUGACCUCCUUACAGUUGACGUUAAGCACAAAUAGCUUUAUAUAAGACAGACUGGUCGAGUUAAAGUAGAAACCAAAACGAGAAAGGGGAAGGCACCGGUUCGAACCUAUGACCACAUGAGCUCGCCGCUUGUGCGAGCGGCAACCAUCCGGCCACUACGAGUUUUUUUUCAAGAAAAAACUAUCAGCCACAAUGACAUUUAAAUAGAUAAACACAAUUUAUCUUAUUUAUGCUUCAUUCUUUUUCCUAUUUAAGAAAAUUAUUUUAUAUUCUAUAUAAACUUUUCGGAGAAAUCAACUAGAUUUUUGUUUCAAUUCGACUAAUUUUAUAUUAAAAAAUCGAGAUAAAAUGAAAUAUAGUGCAGAAUGAGUGUACGUAUUUUUUUUGGACAAAUCAACUACUCACUCCGUUCCAAAAUAUAGUGCGCCCGCGCUUCCCGAGGUCCAACUUUGACCAUAAAUUUAGCCAACGAGACCGAUUGCAGCGUGAGAAAAAGUUAUAUAAUUGAAAACUUCUGUUGAAUAGGAAUUCACUGGUAUAACUUUUGCUCCCGCCGCAAUCGGUCUUGUUUGUUAAAUUUUUGGUCAAAGUUGAAGCACGGGGAUAGAGGAAGCACUAUAUUUUGAAAUGGAGGGAGUAGAUUUUUUGUUGAAUUUGAAUAAUCCUGAUAAAGGAAAAUAUAGUUCAAAAUGAAUAUACUUCUUUCGGACAAAUCAACGGAAUUUAUUAUGAUCGAAAAUCUAGAUAAAAUAAAUUAUAUGUAAAAUAGAAUGUACAUAUUUUUUUUGGAGAAAACAACUAUUUUUUUUGAAUUUAAAUAAUUUAAAAUUAAAAAAUAUGGAUAAAAGGAAAUAUAGUGUACAAUGAAUGUAUGCAUAUUUUGGGGACAAAUCAAUAAAAUUUUGUUUGAAUUCGAAUAAUUUUAAAUUUUAAAAUCUAUAUAAAAGAAAGUAUGGCUUAGAAUGAAUGUAAGUAAUUUUUUCAGACAAAUCAACUGAUUUUUGUUUGAAUCUGGAUAAUCUAUAUAAAAGAAAUAUAGUUCAUAAUGAAUGUACAUAAAUUUCUUUCGAACAAAUCAACGGAAAUUUUGUUUGAAUUCAAAUAAUUUUAGAUUAGAAAAUCUAGAUAAAAAAUAUAUGUCAGAAUGAAUGUAUGUAAAAAAAUCCGGAAAAAUCAAAUAAAUUUUUGUUUGAAUUCGAAUAAUUUCAAUAAAAAAAUAUAGUGCAGAAUGAAUGUAUGUAAUUUCGUUUCCAACAAAUCAGCAGAAAUUUUGUUUGACUCCGAAUAAUUUUAAAUUUGAAAAUCUAGAGAAAAGAAAAUAUAUUCAGAAUAUAUAUUUUAUCCUAGAGGUGAUAUACCUUAGGGUGUGUUCGGUUGAUGUCACCAGCUGGAAUUUGCAACAUUUUGAUGGCUGGGCAGAUUGUAUCUUAUAUAUGUUUAAAUCAUGUGUUUGUGAUGAUUUCAUCCAUUUUAUUGCAACAUUUUGAUGGCUGGGCAGAUUGUAUCUUAUAUAUGUUUAAAUCAUGUGUUUGUGAUGAUUUCAUCCAUUUUAUUACAACAUUUUGAUGGCUGGGCAGAUUGUAUCUUUUUUAUGUUUAAAUCAUGUGUUUGUGAUGAUUUCAUCUAUUUUAUUGCAACAUUUUGAUGGCUGGGCAGAUUUUACCUUAUAAAUUUAGAUGCUUUAAUCCAUUCUUUUGCAAUUUUUUGAUGGCUGAACAGAAAUGGACAAUGUUGAAGUUACCGCUGCAUCAUGGUAUGGACCACUUCCAUGACCAACACUAUGCUAGAUUUUUUUGGCUGACCUUGUUGCUAAAGGGAAGAGAACUUCUAGUGGAUUCAGGGAGACACAUCUCAAACAAUGCGCUGCUGUUUUGAAUGAGAAAUUCAAGCUAGCUAUCACCUCUGAUCAAGUUAGAAACCAUCUCAAGAAGUGGAGGAAGAUUUGGGUCAGGGUUGUCAAUUUGAAGAAUUUAAGUGGAGCUCUAUGGGAUGAAGAUACUUGCACAAUUAGGCUCAGCGAAGAACACUAUGCAGGUCACUGUAUGGUAAGCUUCUUGUACUAUGAACAAUAUCAUCCCAUUUUCUGCCUUCAUUAUGCUAAUGACUUGCUAAUUUUUUGUAGACCCACAAACCUGAUGCUCCCUUCUUGAAUAACCCAAUUGAACACUAUCAUGCCAUGGCGACCAUUUUUGGAACAACCGGGGCUAAGGGGAUGAAUGCAAGGUUUGGAAAUGAUCUCCUUUCUAUUGACGUUGAUGAUGAGGAGAAUGGUGAGGUGAAUGGCGAGAUCAACACGUCACCGCAAGUUGGUGAGUCUUCUCACCCCAAAGGACCACCAAAAAAGAUGGCCCAGGUGCUGAAAGUUCUAGAGGAUCCACUAGGUGCCAUUCUCAAAGAUGGUUUUAAACUUGUGGCUGAAGCUCUUGUGAAAUCUGGUGGAGAUGAUGAUGAUAUACCCGAUGACCUUUGGGAUGUAGUCUCUAGUUUGAAAGAAUUUGAUGAAGAGCACCUUGCCCACUACUAUGCUCAUCUUGUUGACAACCCCAAGACGGCAAGAGCCUUCAUGAAACUUUCUGAAACCAACAAAUAUGUUUGGGUGAGUAGGUAUGUGAAGAACUUCUAAAUUCGAUAUGGUUGUAUGGUUGUCAAGUAUGUGAACUUGACUUGUAUGGCUGUAGUGCCAUUGGGUUGCUUUAGGAUAUUUGGAAUGUGAACAUGUAUGGUUGUAUGUGAGAGACAUGUAUUGGCCGAUUGCUUUUGGAUGUGCCAAAUGAACUUGCUACCUGAUUGCUACCUUAUGAUAUUAUUGCUGAAAAUUGUGUUCUAUGUCAAUAUAUAUUAUUAUGUUGUUUUUCUUGAAAAUACAAAUGAAAUGCUGCCGAAUUUUUGAAUUUCUGUUAUUCCAUUUUUCAUUCCAUUCUUCCAAACCAAACACUGGAACAGAACCAACCCGUUCUACUUUUUUGCACCUACCAAACACAGGAACGGAACCGACCCAUUCUUCUGGAAUGGAACCAUUCCACUCCGUGACAGUUGGUUCCUCAACCAAACACACCCUUAGUUGUCCAAAUGAAACAGCGAGCACGAUCAGUUGCGUUGGUUAGGUCGCCAGCGACAUUCCGCGAGGUCGCUGAUUAGAACUGGCUCCGGCCGAUUUUUUCCUGCCCAAUAUAUGUACAACAUACACUGACGGGUGGACCCAAGUACAUCUAUUGCUGGAGUGCUUUUGUACAAAGUAAAAAAUACCGUUGGCGUUUCUGCAAAAAAAACAUCACGUGCACUAGCCACAGACAAUGUGCCCUGGCCACGUAGGCGGCGAAUACACUCAUGUAUGGGAAGUGUGACCGUAUUUGCACGCCCGCGCAAGUUUCAUGACUAAAAACACGUAUUUUGCAAGUUUGUGCACCAAACUGCCCGGCACGUGCAAGUUCUAAGACUCCUAGUGUAUUUACCUCUAAAAAAAGUUGUCUAGGAGUUCCUCGGGAGUUCAGUAAAAUUUCAAAACAAAUAGUUGAAAGUUCUCUACAAAUUAGCUAGAAGCCGUGAUUUUUUAGCAAAUUCGUAGAUGCCAGUUCAAAAGUACUACUCCCUCCGUCCUAAAAUUCGUGUCUUAGAUUUGUCUUGAUACGGAUGUAUCUAAUACUAAAACGUAUUUAGAUAAGGGGUCCGACUAUGCCACAUCUAGAUGUGAGAUAAUACCUCACAUCUAACUAUGACAUCAUUCCAUAUUAGCAAAUAAAAUACAGCCCCAUCAUUGUAUUGUUUGUUUUGUUUUGUCGCUGUUUUUGUUUUUUCAUCCACCGCACCCCGCCAGAACAGCGGGAGCUUCUUCGACUAGGCCGGCCUAGUGUCAAACUGACAACGAGCAGUGCAAAACUCCCCAGAAAAGAGAAAAUAUAUAUUGUGGCAUGCGCAGCUGAUCCAUCCCGUGCUACAGGGCAACAACAUUGUUCAUUACAGAGCGCUACAGCACCAUGCUUUUUGGUUAGUGCGGGAGCUACGACCAGCCCGAUGGCAAUACUACUUUUCUAUUUGCACCCGGACAACCCACUCUGUCUCAAGAAGAAUGUCCUUAAUAAUUAUCCGACAAUUGUUGUUCUUUUUGCAUGUAACGGUAAGAUAUGUCACAUAAGCAUGAUAACUUGACACAAGUAAGUUGUUAAUAACAUGAUAAGUAGUUAUAGUGAUAAAAUAGUAGCGCAUACUUUAAAGUCAUGGUAGCGCGUAACUAGACAUUACUGAAAAUCUCCAAAGAAUUUUUCAAGUUUUGAACACUUUUUCAAAAUUACGAACACUUCUGUUAAAUGUCAGCAAUUUAAAAACAAUUCUAAGCAUUGUUGAAAGCUGUGAAGAAAUUUUAAAAAUUCCCCAAAGAAAACUUGAAUUUGUAAAAAAAAAUUGAAAAUGUGAACGUCUUUUGAAAUUCAGAGCAAUGUUCGAAAACUAAUAAAAAUUCUAGAAUAUUGUUUUUAAAUGUGAACUUUUUUUAAAUGGUGAACACAUGUUAGAAAACACGUUUUUUUUUAAUUCCAGAACAUUUUUCAAAUUUGUGAAGAAACUAGCCUUAUAUACAAAAGGAUCAGACUCAAAAUGGUGUAAAUCAUUUGUAUGCAACUAUGAGAUUUCAAAGAAAGGUGGGGAACUAGCUCAAUGCGCUAGGAACCAAAAAUCAUAUAAAUUGUGGGGGGGUUUUCCAAAAAAAAUGAAAACUUGGGUCCCUCUGACUCUAUUGCGUAUCUUUCAAAAACCAAAAUGGGUCAAAGAUGGGGUUGCAACUGGGACAUUUGAAAAAUGGGUAGGCCCAAGAAAGAAAAAAUAAAUAAUAAACAAUGUUUAGCAGCUAAAAAGAGCCAAAAAAGGUGGACAUGUCAUUGUUGGGGCUCACAUUUUGUGUAUUUAAGAUGGAAUUGUAUCUCGCAUAAAAAUUGGUCGCUCACGCCAGUUAAAGGUUGAUGUGAACUUGUAAUUGCAACAAAAAAAACUUUAAGCCCAAUUGCAAGUCGGUGGUGGACUUGUAAUUGGGCGAAGAACAAAAAGGAUGAACUACUCGCAAAAACGAGGGUGAGCUUGUACUAAGGCAACAAAAAAAGGUCAAAAAUGUCCCGAUUGCAAGUAGAGGGUGGCAUAGCAACUAGGAGAGGAGAACAAAAAAAGGGGAGGUGCUAGUUGUAAGCUGUGGGCGCACUUGCAAACUUAGGCAAUAACAAAAAUUCGGUACCAUUUGCGAGUCAAGAAUAUGAGCCCAGUUGCGAGUCAAGAAUGGACUUGCAACUCAGAAAACUACAAAAAAACUAUGAUACUAGUUGCGAGUCGAGAGUGGACUUGCAACUAGGACAAAUACGACCCUAAUUGCGAGUCAAGGGCGGACUUAAAACUAGGAUGAAAAACAAACUACAGUCCCAGUUGCGAGUCGAGGACGAACUUGCAAUUGGGAUGAAAAACAAAGUAUGAGGCUAGUUGCAAGUCGAGAGUGGACUUGAAACUAGGCCAACUACACAAAACUACGAUACUAGUUGCGAGUCAAGGGUGGACUUGCAACUGGGACAAAUACGAAACCACAUGCCUAGUUGCGUGCUAAGGGUGGACUUGCAACUGAGAUGACACAAACUAUAAUCCUAGACAAAAACCGUUUGUGAGUCGAGGCGGACUUGCAACUGGGAUAAUCAUACGUGUCGGUCAUCAACACCCGCAGUUUUGGCCGAUUCUGGCCUGUUUCGUGGACUAUUACUCAUUGUUUUGGUGUUCCGGACUGAUUUCCACGAUUGAUAAACCCAGGGGUGCGUUUACGUGUCGGUCAUAAAUACUCGCAGUUUUGGCCGAUUCUGACCAGUUUCGUGGACUAUUACUCACUGUUUUGGGGUCCCGGAGUGAUUUCAAUGAUUGACGAACCCCGGGAUGCGUUUACGUGUCGGUCAUCAACACUCGCAGUUUUGGCCGAUUCUGGCCUGUUUCAUNNNNNNNNNNNNNNNNNNNNNNNNNNNNNNNNNNNNNNNNNNNNNNNNNNNNNNNNNNNNNNNNNNNNNNNNNNNNNNNNNNNNNNNNNNNNNNNNNNNNNNNNNNNNNNNNNNNNNNNNNNNNNNNNNNNNNNNNNNNNNNNNNNNNNNNNNNNNNNNNNNNNNNNNNNNNNNNNNNNNNNNNNNNNNNNNNNNNNNNNNNNNNNNNNNNNNNNNNNNNNNNNNNNNNNNNNNNNNNNNNNNNNNNNNNNNNNNNNNNNNNNNNNNNNNNNNNNNNNNNNNNNNNNNNNNNNNNNNNNNNNNNNNNNNNNNNNNNNNNNNNNNNNNNNNNNNNNNNNNNNNNNNNNNNNNNNNNNNNNNNNNNNNNNNNNNNNNNNNNNNNNNNNNNNNNNNNNNNNNNNNNNNNNNNNNNNNNNNNNNNNNNNNNNNNNNNNNNNNNNNNNNNNNNNNNNNNNNNNNNNNNNNNNNNNNNNNNNNNNNNNNNNNNNNNNGGUGUCCCGGACUGAUUUCCACGAUUAACGAACCCUGGGGUGCGUUUAUGUGUCGGUCAUCAACACCCGCAGUUUUGGCCGGUUCUGACCCGUUUCGUGGACUAUUACUUACUGUUUUGGGUUCCUGGAGUGAUUUCCCCAAUUGACGAACCCUGGGGUGCGUUUACGUGUCGGUCAUCAACACCCGCAGUUUUGGCCGAUUCUGGCGUGUUUCGUGGACUAUUACUCAUUGUUUUGGUGUCCCGGGCUGAUUUCCACGAUUGAUGAACCCUGGGGUGCGUUUACGUGUCGGUCAUAAAUACUCGCAGUUUUGGCCGAUUCUGGCCAGUUUCGUGGACUAUUACUCACUGUUUUGGGGUCCCGGAGUGAUUUCAACGAUUGACGUGUUGGGGAUCGUAGCAGAAUUUUAAAAAUUUCCUACGCAUCACCAAGAUCCAUCUAUGGAGUAUACUAGCAACGAGGGGAAAGGAGUGCAUCUACAUACCCUUGUAGAUCGCGAGCGGAAGCGUUCCAAUGAACGGGGUUGAUGGAGUCGUACUCGCCGUGAUCCAAAUCACCGAUGACCGAGUGCCGAACGGACGGCACCUCCGCGUUCAACACACGUACGGAGCAGCGACGUCUCCUCCUUCUUGAUCCAGCAAGGGGGAAGGAGAGGUUGAUGGAGAUCCAGCAGCACGACGGUGUGGUGGUGGAAGUAGCGGGGAUCUCGGCAGGGCUUCGCCAAGCUUCUACGAGAGGGAGAGGUGUUGCAGGGGGAGAGGGAGGCGCCAGGGGCUGUGGUUCUGCUUCCCUCCCUUCCCCCACUAUAUAUAGGCCCCCUGGGGGGGCGCCGGCCCUGGGAGANNNNNNNNNNNNNNNNNNNNNNNNNNNNNNNNNNNNNNNNNNNNNNNNNNNNNNNNNNNNNNNNNNNNNNNNNNNNNNNNNNNNNNNNNNNNNNNNNNNNNGGCGGCCAAGGGGGAAGGGGGGUGGCUUCCCCCCCAAGCCAAGUGGGGCGCCCCCACCCCCAGGGUUUCCAACCCUAGGCGCAGGGGGAGGCCCAUGGGGGGCGCCCCAGCCCACUAAGGGCUGGUUCCCUUCCCACUUCAGCCCAUGGGGCUCUCCGGGAUAGGUGGCCCCACCCGGUGGACCCCCGGGACCCUUCCGGUGGUCCCGGUACAAUACCGAUAACCCCCGAAACCUUCCCGAUGGCCGAAACUGGACUUCCUAUAUAUAAUUCUUCACCUCCGGACCAUUCCGGAACUCCUCGUGACGUCCGGGAUCUCAUCCGGGACUCCGAACAACUUUCGGGUUUCCGCAUACUAAUAUCUCUACAACCCUAGCGUCACCAAACCUUAAGUGUGUAGACCCUACGGGUUCGGGAGACAUGCAGACAUGACCGAGACGCCUCUCCGGUCAAUAACCAACAGCGGGAUCUGGAUACCCAUGUUGGCUCCCACAUGUUCCACGAUGAUCUCAUCGGAUGAAUCACGAUGUCGAGGAUUCAAUCAAUCCCAUAUACAAUUCCCUUUGUCAAUUGGUACUUUACUUGCCCGAGAUUCGAUCGUCGGUAUCCCAAUACCUUGUUCAAUCUCGUUACCGGCAAGUCACUUUACUCGUACCGUAAUGCAUGAUCCCGUGGCUAACUCCUUAGUCACAUUGAGCUCAUUAUGAUGAUGCAUUACCGAGUGGGCCCAGAGAUACCUCUCUGUCAUACGGAGUGACAAAUCCCAGUCUCGAUCCGUGUCAACCCAACAGACACUUUCAGAGAUACCCGUAGUGUACCUUUAUAGUCACCCAGUUACGUUGUGACGUUUGGUACACCCAAAGCACUCCUACGGUAUCCGGGAGUUACACGAUCUCAUGGUCUAUGGAAAAGAUACUUGACAUUGGAAAAGCUCUAGCAAACGAACUACACGAUCUUUUAUGCUAUGCUUAGGAUUGGGUCUUGUCCAUCACAUCAUUCUCCUAAUGAUGUGAUCCCGUUAUCAAUGACAUCCAAUGUCCAUAGUCAGGAAACCACGACUAUCUGUUGAUCAACGAGCUAGUCAACUAGAGGCUUACUAGGGACACGUUGUGGCCUAUGUAUUCACACAUGUAUUACGAUUUCCGGAUAACACAAUUAUAGCAUGAACAAUAGACAAUUAUCAUGAACAAAGAAAUAUAAUAAUAACCAUUUAUUAUUGCCUCUAGGGCAUAUUUCCAACAGUCUCCCACUUGCACUAGAGUCAAUAAUCUAGUUACAUUGUGAUGAAUCGAACACCCAUAGCGUUCUGCUGUUGAUCAUGUUUUGCUCUAGGGAGAGGUUUAGUCAACGGAUCUGUUACAUUCAGGUCCGUAUGUACUUUACAAAUAUCUAUGUCUCCAUUUUGAACACUUUCACGAAUGGAGUUGAAGCGACGCUUGAUAUGCCUGGUCUUCCUGUGAAAUCUGGGCUCCUUCGCAAGGGCAAUAGCUCCAGUGUUGUCACAGAAGAGAGUCAUCGGGCCCGACGCAUUGGGAAUCACCCCUAGGUCGCUAAUGAACUCCUUCAUCCAGAUUGCUUCUUGCGCUGCCUCUGAGGCUGCCAUGUACUCCGCUUCACAUGUAGAUCCCGCCACGACGCUUUGCUUGCAACUGCACCAGCUUACUGCCCCUCCAUUCAAAAUAUACACGUAUCCGGUUUGUGACUUCGAGUCAUCCAGAUCUAUGUCGAAGCUAGCGUCGACGUAACCCUUUACGACGAGCUCUUCGUCACCUCCAUAAACGAGAAACAUAUCCUUAGUCCUCUUCAGGUACUUCAGGAUAUUCUUGACCGCUGUCCAGUGUUCCAUGCCGGGAUUACUUUGGUACCUUCCUACCAAACUUACGGCAAGGUUUACAUCAGGUCUGGUACACAGCAUGGCAUACAUAAUAGACCCUAUGGCCGAGGCAUAGGGGAUGACACUCAUCUUUUCUCUAUCUUCUGCCGUGGUCGGGCAUUGAGCCGCGCUCAAUUGCACACCUUGCAAUACAGGCAAGAACCCCUUCUUGGACUGAUCCAUAUUGAACUUCUUCAAUAUCUUGUCAAGGUACGUACUCUGUGAAAGACCAAUGAGGCGUCUUGAUCUAUCUCUAUAGAUCUUGAUGCCUAAUAUAUAAGCAGCUUCUCCAAGGUCCUUCAUUGAAAAACACUUAUUCAAGUAGGCCUUUAUACUUUCCAAGAAUUCGAUAUCAUUUCCGAUCAAUAGUAUGUCAUCCACAUAUAAUAAGAGAAAUGCUACAGAGCUCCCACUCACUUUCUUGUAAACACAGGCUUCUCCAUAAGUCUGUGUAAACCCAAACGCUUUGAUCAUCUCAUCAAAACGAAUGUUCCAACUCCGAGAUGCUUGCACGAGUCCAUAGAUGGAGCGCUGGAGCUUGCAUACCUUAUUAGCAUUCUUAGGAUCGACAAAACCUUCCGGCUGCAUCAUAUACAAUUCUUCCUUAAGAAAACCGUCAAGGAAUGCCGUUUUAACGUCCAUUUGCCAUAUCUCAUAAUCAUAGAAUGCGGCAAUUGCUAACAUGAUUCAGACGGACUUCAGCUUCGCUACGGGUGAGAAAGUCUCAUCGUAGUCAACCCCUUGAACUUGUCGAUAACCCUUAGCGACAAGUCGAGCCUUACACUACCGGAAUCAGCUAAUUUGCCAUCUGCCAGCUCUUUGCCGUCUGCUAGCUGACGGCAAAGAAGCUCUUUGCCAUCAGCUACCCAAAAGCAGACGACAAAACAGGUCUUUGCCAUCUGCGAGCUCUUUGCCGUCUGCUAGCAGACGGCAAAGAAUCUUUGCCGUCCGCUGGCAGACGGCAAAGAGAGAGGUGGCCCCCAUCCCCCGCCCGUUUGGAAAAAACUUAACGCCCCACCUCUUUGCCGUCUGCUAGCGGACGGCAAAGAGACAAAAAGGCGGACGGCAAAGAGGAGAGUACCUAACGGCCCGUACCCCCCCGCCCGUUACUCUUUGUUCUCUCCCUCUCUCUCCUCCCCGACGUGCCCCGCCACCACAUCCCACCCCACCGCCGCCGCCGUCGCCCCGCCACCCGGCGCCGCCCCGUCGCCCCCUCCGCCCCGUCGCCCCCCACCUCUCNNNNNNNNNNNNNNNNNNNNNNNNNNNNNNNNNNNNNNNNNNNNNNNNNNNNNNNNNNNNNNNNNNNNNNNNNNNNNNNNNNNNNNNNNNNNNNNNNNNNNNNNNNNNNNNNNNNNNNNNNNNNNNNNNNNNNNNNNNNNNNNNNNNNNNNNNNNNNNNNNNNNNNNNNNNNNNNNNNNNNNNNNNNNNNNNNNNNNNNNNNNNNNNNNNNNNNNNNNNNNNNNNNNNNNNNNNNNNNNNNNNNNNNNNNNNNNNNNNNNNNNNNNNNNNNNNNNNNNNNNNNNNNNNNNNNNNNNNNNNNNNNNNNNNNNNNNNNNNNNNNNNNNNNNNNNNNNNNNNNNNNNNNNNNNNNNNNNNNNNNNNNNNNNNNNNNNNNNNNNNNNNNNNNNNNNNNNNNNNNNNNNNNNNNNNNNNNNNNNNNNNNNNNNNNNNNNNNNNNNNNNNNNNNNNNNNNNNNNNNNNNNNNNNNNNNNNNNNNNNNNNNNNNNNNNNNNNNNNNNNNNNNNNNNNNNNNNNNNNNNNNNNNNNNNNNNNNNNNNNNNNNNNNNNNNNNNNNNNNNNNNNNNNNNNNNNNNNNNNNNNNNNNNNNNNNNNNNNNNNNNNNNNNNNNNNNNNNNNNNNNNNNNNNACACCCCGACCCCGACACCCUGACACCACACCCCGACCACCGACACCCUGACACCACACCCCGACCCACACCCCGACCCCGACCCCGACACCCUGGCAAGGUCAUAUAUUUGUGAAUUAUUAGUUAGGUCAUAUAUUUUUCGAUUUUGUUAUGAAAACAUCAUAUAUAAAUGUGUUGAUCGGGUAGAUUUAAAUGUGCAGUUGUUUCAUCGCUGCGAGGUUUGGUGGUCGACGACCUCGCCGUGCGUUUGACGAGCUCUGCCCCUUCGUUCGUGGGUGAGCACAAAUGACAUGUCCUCCUCCACUUGAUAGCUAGCUAUAUAUGUGUCUUGAAUCAUCAGUAUGCAUAACCAAUAUGUGUCUCCCGUUCGAAAGCGUCAUAGUUAUAAAUAUGCAUGCAUUUGCAUAUUUAUAACCUUGAUUCUUUCGAAUUGUCCAACGCUAUCCAUGGACAGCCCGAGUAUGUUUAGAUUGGGUUCGUUUUCCCAUAUGCUUUGCUCCGGAUCUGACGCAUAAGUUUCGUCAGUGCCUCCCCUGUUGUUCUCCGGGUACACAUCCUCUCUGUUUAUUGCAGAGACGUGUAUCAGGAGAACAGCGGGGAGGUGCUGCCGAAAUUUUGCGUAGGAUCCGGAGCAUAGCAUGGGAAAAUGAACCCAAUCUAAACAUACUCGGGUGGGAUUAGGACCUAUCAUUACCUAUUAGAGUGUAGGUUGCAUGGACGUAAUAAAAUUGACAAAGUAGAUCAACUGAUGAAUAUAUACAUGGUGAAUUAUAUAUAUAUAUAUUUGUUGUGUGUCUAGUAGCUCUGAAAGUCAAGAUGAGUGAUCGUGCGUGGAUGUACACCGGUCACACUGGUCAGAACAAAUGGAGCACUGAAUGGUUCACAAAAACCAAGGGGUUUGUGCGAGCCGCAUUUGCAAAUGGCCAGAGGAAAACCUGGUGCCCCUGUUUACGGUGCGGCAAUUGGGAAAAGAGGACAGAGGCUGAAAUGGGCAAACACCUGCAGAAGAGUGGUUUUACGCCCGAUUAUACGGUGUGGACAUUUCAUGGUGAGUCUGCCCAACGUGACCGAGCUGAGGUGGAUCGUCGUCGCACCGACGAGCAUGGUACCGGGAUGGAAAACAUGGUGCAAGACUUCGAUGAUGCUCGGGAUUCGGACGAGGAGGUGGAGGAAUCUGCAAAGGCCUUCAAUGAAAUGUUGGAGUCUUCAAAACGUCCGCUCCAUGAGCACACUGAGCUUUGUCAAUUGGAUUCCAUCUCACAAGUAAUGGCUCUGAAGGCUCAGUUCAACUUGGGCAGAGAAUGCUACGAUGCAAUGAUGACAGUAUUUGGACGCUUUCUACCCAAAGGCCAUGUAAUGCCUGCAAACCUGUACCAGUCGGACAAAAUCCUCCAUGCACUGAAGAUGCCCUAUGAUAAGAUACAUGCCUGUGAGAAAGGAUGUGUCUUGUUUAGGCUUGACUAUGCGGACUUGAACUAUUGUCCCAUUUGCAAGUCUUCCAGGUAUGUUGUGGUAGACAACGGCAUGGGUGAGAAGACACAGACCAAAAUCCCCGUUAGUGUUCUUCGGUAUAUGCCAAUCGUACCAAGACUUCAACGUCUUUUCAUGGUUGAAGAGACGGCCAGACAGAUGACAUGGCACAAAACGGGCAAAAGAACCGAACUAGAUGCAGAUGGGAAUCUGAUGAUUGUACACACAUCGGAUGGUGUUGCGUGGAAAAAGUUUGAUGAAUUACAUGCUGACAAAGCGGCAGAUCCGAGGCAUCCUCGAGUCGGCAUCAGCACGGAUGGGUUCAGUGUGUUUGGUAUGACGGCAGCCCAAUACAGUUGUUGGCCCGUAUUUGUCUUUCCACUAAAUCUCCCCCCCCGGACAGAUUAUGCAAAGAAAGAACAUUUUCCUGACGUUGAUAAUUCCAGGGCCCAACUAUCCGGGAAAAAUUAUGAAUGUGUACAUGCAGCCGCUUAAGGAAGAAUUGCAAGAAGCCUGGGAUAAUGGGUUCAAGACAUACGACGCCUAUAGCAAACGGAACUUCAUAAUGCGUGUCUAGUACAUGUACUCGACGCAUGACUUGCCGGCGUAUGCGCUAUUCGUUGGCUGGUGUGUGCAUGGAAGGUUCCCGUGCCCCACAUGCAAGGGAGCUCUUGAGUUUCGUUGGCUUCAGGCUGGUCGCAAGUUUUCUUGCUUCGACAUGCAUAGAUAGUUCCUGAAUCCUCGCCAUAAGUUCAGGAAAGACAAGAAAAACUUCAUCAGAGGUAGAGUUGUCAAAAACUCUGCACCACCUGCAUUGACAGGCCUACAGACCCUGGAUCAGUUAAACGCUCUCGAGCCAGAUCCAGAGCGUCCAGGGUACUUCAAGGGGUAUAAUUCUAAGCACGCUUGGACUCACAAAACAUGCGUAUGGGAUCUGCCUUACUUCAAAGACCUCCUUUGACCACACAACAUCGACGUGAUGCACACUGAGAAGAAUAUCGCCGAGGCACUUUUUGGUACAUUGUUCGGCAUAGAUGGGAAGUCAAAGGAUAAUACUAAGGCUAGAGUCGAUCUGGAGGCGCUAUGUGAUAGGCCGUUACAAAACAUGAAAGAACCGAAAGGAAAGCAGAACUGGACGAAGCCAAAGGCAUGGUUCAAUCUUGGAAGGCCAGCUAUGAGGGAAAUUAUCUUGUGGGUGAAAAUGCAGUUGAUGUUCCCCGAUGGGUAUGCAGCGAAUCUAAAGAGGGGAGCCAGUCUUGAUAAAUUGAAGAUAUUUGGUCUCAAGAGUCAUGAUUGGCACAUAUGGAUUGAGCGGGUAAUGCCGGUGAUGUUGCGUGGCUUCAUCCCUGAGGAUGAAUGGCUAGUACUGGCAGAACUCAGCUAUUUCUUCCGUGUUCUUUAUGCGAAAGAACUAUCGCCUGGCGUGCUAGAAGAAAUGGAAGAGUUGGCGCCGGAGUUGAUCUGCAAGUUAGAGAAGAUCUUUCCACCGGGCUUCUUUAAUCCAAUGCAACAUUUGAUUUUGCAUCUCCCGACCGAGGCAAGAUUGGGGGGGCCCGUGCAAAAUCGUUGGUGCUACCCAACUGAGAGGAUGCAGAAGACGCUUCAACAAAAAUGUAAAAAUAAACGUAGAAUUGAAGCAUCGAUGGCUGAGGCAUUCAUCACUGAGGAGGCGGCAAACUUCGUGACAGCACACUACGAAGCCAAAAAUCGUCAUUUGCAUAAUCCGAAGCCUCGGUACAAUGCUGACGACCCUAAAAAGGGUGGAUCCAACCUCAGCCUAUUCAAAGGGAAUCUCGCACCAGCCAGUGUUUCAAAUCCAGUAUCUUUGGAUAACGAACAAUGGCGGACCAUUUCGUUGUAUAUCUUCAACAACCUGAUAGAAGUGCGGCCGUACAUCGAGUAAGUUCUCGGUACAUUGUUUCGCAACUUCUAUUUCCUUUGAACUGCUCUUAUUCCUGGAUAUUUCAUACAGUCGAUACGUCGCCUUAUUCUCGUAUGGAGCGGUGAUCCAAAAGGAUUCUGUCGAAGAGUAUGAGCUUCUCGCAAAGCAAGGAGGCGGCUAUCCCGGUUUCAUCUCUUGGUUCAAACAAAGGUAAUUUCUAUUAGACAAUUUCAUUUCAUUCGCUAAUUUGUGCGUAAUGCAACAAUCCUUUCAUAUUAAACUUGUAGGCUAAUUCAGAGUCUAUGGACGCCGAAUUGAGAGAAGUCGCUGAUGGUUUUGACUAUAAGGUCCGUUCAUUUGACAAAUACGACAUCAACGGGUAUCGCUUUCGUACCUAUGGCAAAGAGCUAUCUAUGGCCGACGGAAAUUCUACAAAUUGUUGUGUAUCUGCUAUCGGCGAAGGAGGUACCGAGUAUUAUGGGAGAGUUGAAGCAAUUUAUGAACUUCUAUUCUAUGGUGAAAACCCACCGAAUGUCGUAGUCUUCAAAUGUUAUUGGUUUCAGCCGAAGGAGACUAGAAGGACUCAUGAACAUAUAGGGCUAGUUGAAAUCAACCAAAGCACCCAUUUAGAUGUUCCUGAUGUCUAUAUUACGGCUCAACAGGCGACCCAAGUAUUCUAUCUACCGUGGGCCUGCCAAACUAAUCCAAAUCUGAAAGGUUGGGAUGUCGUUUAUGAAGUGCCGCCACGUGCUAGACUUUCUUCUCCAAAGGAAGAGGAUUAUGAACCUCACAUUAACCCAGACACAUAUGAAGGAGAAUUCUUCCAAGAGACACGUCUUUCCAAAAAGCGUUUCAAGAACCGCUAUACUUCACCCCAAAACAUUGAAGUAGACAGCGACAGUGAAUUUGACAUCACCCCAGAGGAGGAACAAGAAGAGCCGGAACAAGAAGAGGUUACUGCUGCGGAUGACCUAUCAUUGCUUGACCGAUUACGUCAAGGUGGCCUUCCACAUGUUGAUGCCACUGAACCCUAUGAGCCCGUCAUUGAUUAUAGUGAUGAUGAUGAUUAUGCAUUUAUUGAUGAUACUGAUCGAGAUUAUUAGUAGUGUCACGUAUUAAAUUUUUUAUGUUGUACUUGAUGAUGAUACACUUAAGUGAUACACAUAUUAUUAUUCAUGUCGGUCUUUUUUUUAUGUUGUACUAAUUUCAUUUACUGUUUGUCAUGGCAGGUGUUGAAAGAUGGUGGCCGCUGGUCGGGAGCGCGCCAAGGCCCCUUCUUCGUCGGCGCGUGGUCUGAGGUCUUCCAUUCCAGACGCACCUCUCCGCCGAGCGUUGCUGGACAGUAUGGCGACACCGCCGGGCCCUUCUUCGUUGACCGCGGUGCCCAGUAGGGGACGAGGUAGGAAGAGAGGAGGUGGGGCACGUGGUCGCGGGAGAGGAGGUAGGGUGACUGCUACGGCGCCUUCCUCGCCGCCACCCCCAGCUGUUUCACCCGAGCACGUGACUGCUAGGGUGGACUCGUCCGAGGAGGAGGCUACACGGACUCCGGUCCACAAGCCUCCGGUCCACGGGUCUUGGGCCCACGAGCCUCGGGUCGACUGGCCUUCGGCCCACGAGAGUUCGGCCCACGAGACCCCGGAGGAGCACACGUCCGGAUGGGGUACCUGGCCGGAUCAGCCCGUGGAGCCGAGUGGCCAUGCUGAUGAUGGCGGGGAGCCGACUGAUAUUGAGGAGGAGGGGGGCACCGUCUACCAUCGUGGUGCUACACGGCUCCCGUCCGUGCCGGCGACCCGCGAGCAGAGGUGGUUGAUUUUCCCUGAUGGGGAGAGGUACGUAAGUGCAUUUAAUAUUUUUGUACCUUCUGCAUUCACGUUUCUUCAAAUAACUAAUGCGUUGGCCUUGUCAUGCUGCAGGGGUUGGGACCACCAUCAUAGUGUCCACCGGCCCAACUCCGUCCUUGGAGUUCUUUGCCGGCAAAACUUCCCGGGGUUUGUCACGUUGCCUGGUGAGGGUCGGCUUCCAGAGCUUGGAUUGAGCUGGGAGCACUAUUUGGCUGCCCCGGCCCUGCCGGAUGAGAUUAUCGACGGUGUCUUCUGCGACACGAGGGCAGACAUGGUGAUCAGAAAGUUCUGGGUAAUUUCUCCUUUACACAUUUAAAAAUCUUCAACUAGCUAGUUAUUAAUUGUACUAAUCAAUAUUGUCUCAUUUGAUUGCAGACAUUCUACAGGUGUGAGGAGGGAUACGAGGAGGACGCGGCACAUGUUAUCGAGAACGUCUGCAAGCGCCUACUACAGAACUUACGGCACGAGGCUCGGGUGCAGGCUGUUCGAGACUACUACACCUUGCGUGGUAUCAAGAAGACCAAGCCGGCGUGCCGCGAUAAGUUCCUGAGUAAGGAGCAGUACAUGAAGGUAAUUCUUAAGGCCUUCUACUUAAGUUCCUUCAUUUAGUAAUUCUUAGCCGUAGCGCUCAAGUUUCUAUUUGCUAACUUAGGCGCCUCCGAGAUGGUGUGCGGAUCGGAUGGAUUGUUGGGAGGUGUUGGUCAAUGAGUGGUUCUCAAAAGAAUGGCUAGCCCUCCACAACGAGGCCAAGGACAAACGUGCCCAAAUGGAAGGUGUGCCACACCAUCAAGGCAGCUCCAACUUAUAUCAGUUUGGGCGGAACUAGGUAUGUGGUUUGCUUCAUGAUUCAUGCAAUUCAUUCAUCAUGCUAGCUUGAGCCCUUUAAUUACUAAUUUACAUUGUUUCUCUCUUUCAGGCACGCCACAAUAAGGUGGAUAAGGUGCCAGAGGUGUACAACCUGUAUGCCAUGGCCCACACUGCCUCUUUCAAGAAAGUCAAGGCUUUCUCUCAGUCUGACCUCGAUGAUGCAAACAACUUCACCAACAUCUCCUCCCACAACAAGCUCGUGAGAUAUAGAGAUGAGGGGAAGGCGAGGAAAGGGGAGGACUUUAACCCGAGCCAGGGUCCCAUUGAUCCAGAGCUGGUGAUGAUAUCUGGUGGCGGGAGGUCCCAUGGCUCCAUAGCCAUUGGAGAUGGACUUAUCCGUUGUCCUAGCACUCUCCCGGAGAUCAAGGCGCGCCAGUCGAGCUCCGCUCCUGAGAUAAGGCCUCGUGAACGGCCAGUGCAACUCGCCAUCAAGGUUAGUGAUACGUACUCAGCUAUCUUUCUCCAUUACAUUGUGUGCACUUCCAUCAAUGAUUACAAAUGGUCAUGUGAGUGGUGUUGCAGGCUGCUAUACAGAGUGAGAGAGAUAGAACGGAGAAACUUCUGGCGGAGGCGGCGGAGAGGCAGCGGGAGUUGGAGGAGAGGACGACAAAGAUGUUGGAGGAGGAGAGGGCACGGAAUGACAUGCAGGCAAGGGCCAUGUACGAGCUCCUUGUGGUAAGUUUCUUCUGCAGAUUAGCCAAAACAUUCAUGUAGUGUUUGUCUCAUUACUAACUAGUAUGACUGAGUCGUCAAAACCAAAUGUGCAGUCUGUGUGCGAGAAGACCGGUCAGACCGCUCCGCCGAUGCCAGUGAUUGCUCCUGGGACCACGGUGAGUUUAAUUUGAAUGGACAUUACUUGCUAGUCUUAACAUUUGAGUGUCAUCAUGCUAACAAGACAUUGGAAAUGAUCUUUGGUGCAGCGUAACUCCAGACAAGCAUCGCACGAUCCUUCUCCAGCUACCGACACGAGCCAGCCCACUCCUACACCUCCUGGAUCAUGGUAAGUUUAUCUAGUGUUUUGCUUAACACAUGCAUAAAGACCUAGAAUUAGCUUUAUUUCCUCCAAUGCUUACCAUAAUGACCUAGACUUAGCUUCUUCUCCUCCAAAAUGACUUAAUAAGCUUACUGACCUCCUAAACCAUCCAUUUUACCUAAGUUAGCUCUAAAACGAUCUGUACUUAGCUUACUUAUGUCAAAAAUUGCAUAAUUAGCUUAGUUAGCUCAUAAACGAUCCAUUUUACCUAAGUUAGCUCUAAAAUGACCCAUUUUACCUUGGUUAGCUUAUAAAUGAUCCAGUUCAUCCAAGUUAGCUCAAAAAUGACCCAUUUUACCUAGAUUAGCUCCUAAAUGAUCCAUUUUACCUACGUUAGCUUUAAAAUGACCCAUUUCACCUAGGUUAACUCCAAAAUGACCCAUCUUACCUAGGUUGUCUCAUAAACGAUCCAUUUCAACUAAUUUAGCUCAUAAACGAUCCAUUUCACCAAGUUAGCUCAAAAACGAUCCAUUUCACCUAAAUUAGCUCUUAAAUGAUCCAUUUCACCUAAGUUAGCUCAAAAAGAUCCAUUUCAACUAAAUUAGCUCACCAAUGAUCCAUUUCACCUAAGUUAGCUCAAAAAGAUCCAUUUCAACUAAAUUAGCUCAUCAAUGAUCCAUUUCACCUAAGUUAGCUCAAAAAACAAUCCAUUUAAACUAAGUUAGCUCAUAAAUGAUCCAUUUCACCUAAGUUAGCUAAAAAACGAUCCAUUUCACCUUAGUUACCUCAAAAAGAUCCAUUUGACCUUAGUUAGCUCAUAAAUGACCCAUUUCAACUAAGUUAGCUCAUAAAUGAUCCAUUUCACCUUAGCUAGCUCAUAAACGACCCAUUCAACUUAGUUAGCUCAUAUAUGAUCCAUUUCACGUAAGUUAGCUCAUAAAUGACAUACUCUUCUUGUUCUAGUCUUCUUCUUGUUCUACUCUUCUUGUUCUAGUCUUCUUGUUCUAGUCUUCUUAUUCUAGUCACCUAUUUCUAACUUUCUUAUUUUGCCAUUUUGCAGAUUUCAUUCACUUCUUGUUCUACUCUUCUUGCUAUGGAGUGCUUGUUUAUGUAUGGAUGGAACUUGUUUAUGUAUGAAUUGAUGGAUGGAACUUGCUUAUGUAAUAUGUAUGGAUGGAACUUGCUUAUGUAUGAAUGGAUUGAACUUGCUUAUGUAUGAAUGUAUGGAACUUAUGUGCUGGAUAUAUGUGAUAUGAAUGCCUGUGAAAUAUAUCUAUAUUAUGUCAUAUAUAUUUGCUGUGAAAAUUGUUGGAUUUAAUAAAAAAACAGAAAAAAGAGCCAAUAUGCAGGCUCUUUGCCGUCUGCCACCGACGGCAACGGGCUCUUUGUCGUCUGCCGCGGACGGCAAAGAAGCCACGAGGCAUCCAGCUGUGCUUCCUGGGAGCUGACCCAUUUGGUCAGUUUGCCUACAGUGGCAGACGGCAAAGAGUAAAAUUUUUUGCCGUCAGCGGCGGACGGCAAAGGCCUGCCAUGUAGUGACGUGUAGAUGACAUCAUAAGGCGGACGGCAAAGACACUAGAAAGUUUGCCGUCUGCCGCGGACGGCAAAGGCCUGCCGUUAGCCACUUAACGGACUGACAGCGCAAUUAUUGCCGUCCGCUCUCUUUGCCGUCCGCGGCAGACGGCAAAGGGCCUUUGCCGUCAGCCGCCCGGAAGCAGACGGCAAAGUAGCUGUUUACCGUAGCCUACUUUGCCGGAGCCUUUUGCCGUCCGCGGCUGACGGCAAAGGCCUUUGCCGUCCGCCGUUCAUGCCUUUGCCGUCCACCGUGGCAGACGGCAAAAUAGCUGAUUCAUGUAGUGUUAUAGAUGGUCACGUUACCAUUCGCGUCUGUCUUCUUCUUAAAGAUCCAUUUAUUUUCUAUGGCUCGCCGAUCAUUGGGCAAGUCAGUCAAAGUCCAUACUUCGUUUUCAUACAUGGAUCCUAUCUCGGAUUUCAUGGCUUCUAGCCAUUUCUCGGAAUCCGGGCCCGCCAUCGCUUCUUCAUAGUUCGAAGGUUCACCGUUGUCUAACAACAUGAUUUCCAGGACAGGGUUGUUGUACCACUCUGGUGCGGAACGUGUCCUUGUGGACCUACGAAGUUCAGCAGUAACUUGAUCCGAAGCUUCAUGAUCAUCAUCAUUAACUUCCUCCCCGGUCGGUGUAGGCACCACAGGAACAUCUUCCCGCGCUGCACUACUUUCCGGUUCGGAAGGGGUGACUAUCACCUCAUCAAGUUCCACUUUCUUCCAACUCAAUUCUUUCGAGAGAAACUCUUUCUCCAGAAAGGACCCGUUCUUGGCAACAAAGAUCUUGCCUUCGGAUCUGAGGUAGAAGGUAUACCCAAUAGUUUCCUUGGGGUAUCCUAUGAAGACGCAUUUUUCCGACUUGGGUUCGAGCUUUUCAGGUUGAAGUUUCUUGACAUAAGCAUCGCAUCCCCAAACUUUUAGAAACGACAGCUUAGGUUUCUUCCCAAACCAUAAUUCAUACGGUGUCGUCUCAACGGAUUUCGAUGGAGCCCUAUUUAAAGUGAAUGCGGCAGUCUCUAAAGCAUAGCCCCAAAAUGAGAGCGGUAGAUCGGUAAGAGACAUCAUAGAUCGCACCAUAUCCAAUAGAGUGCGAUUACGACGUUCGGACACACCGUUUCGCUGAGGUGUUCCAGGCGGCGUGAGUUGUGAAACGAUUCCACAUUUCCUUAAGUGCGUACCAAAUUCGUGACUUAAAUAUUCUCCACCACGAUCUGAUCGUAAGAACUUUAUUUUUCUGUCACGUUGAUUCUCAACCUCACUCUGAAAUUCCUUGAACUUUUCAAAGGUUUCAGACUUGUGUUUCAUUAGGUAGACAUACCCAUAUCUACUUAAGUCAUCAGUGAGAGUGAGAACAUAGCGAUAUCCUCUGCGAGCCUCAACACUCAUUGGACCGCACACAUCGGUAUGUAUGAUUUCCAAUAAAUUGGUUGCUCGCUCCAUUGUUCCGGAGAACGGAACCUUGGUCAUCUUACCCAUGAGGCAUGGUUCACACGUGUCAAAUGAUUCGUAAUCAAGAGACUCCAAAAGUCCAUCUGCAUGGAGCUUCUUCAUGCGUUUGACACCAAUGUGACCAAGGCGGUAGUGCCACAAGUAUGUGGGACUAUCGUUAUCAACUUUACAUCUUUUGGUAUUCACACUAUGAAUAUGUGUAACAUCACGUUCGAGAUUCAUCAAGAAUAAACCAUUGACCAGCGGGGCAUGACCAUAAAGCAUAUCUCUCAUAUAAAUAGAACAACCAUUAUUCUCGGAUUUAAAUGAGUAGCCAUCUCGAAUUAAACGAGAUCCAGAUACAAUGUUCAUGCUCAAAGCUGGCACUAAAUAACAAUUAUUGAGGUUUAAAACUAACCCCGUAGGUAAAUGCAGAGGUAGCGUGCCGACGGCGAUCACAUCGACCUUGGAACCAUUCCCGACGCGCAUCGUCACCUCGUCCUUUGCCAGUCUCCGCUUAUUCCGUAGUUCCUGUUUUGAGUUACAAAUAUGAGCAACCGCGCAAGUACUGGUAAGGUACACAUCAAUUACAUGUAUAUCACAUAUACCUUUGGUGUUGCCGGCCUUCUUGUCCGCUAAGUAUUUGGGGCAGUUCCGCUUCCAGUGACCACUUCCCUUGCAAUAAAAGCACUCAGUCUCAGGCUUGGGUCCAUUCAUCGACUUCUUCCCGGCAACUGGCUUACCGGGCGCGGCAACUCCCUUGCCGUCCUUCUUGAAGUUCUUCUUACCCUUGCCUUUCUUGAACUUAGUGGUUUUAUUCACCAUCAACACUUGAUAUUCCUUUUUGAUCUCCACCUCCGCUGAUUUCAGCAUUGAAUAUACCUCAGGAAUGGUCUUUUCCAUCCCCUGCAUAUUGAAGUUCAUCACAAAGCUCUUGUAGCUUGGUGGAAGCGACUGGAGGAUUCUGUCAAUGACCGCGUCAUCCGGGAGAUUAACUCCCAGCUGAGACAAGCGGUUGUGCAACCCAGACAUUCUGAGUAUGUGCUCACUUACAGAACUAUUCUCCUCCAUUUUACAGGUGAAGAACUUGUCGGAGACUUCAUAUCUCUCGACCUGGGCAUGAGCUUGGAAAACCAUUUUCAGCUCUUCGAACAUCUCAUAUGAUCCAUGCUUCUCAAAACGCUUUUGGAGCCCCGGUUCUAAGCUGUAAAGCAUGCCGCACUGAACGAGGGAGUAAUCAUCAGCACGUGAUUGCCAAGCGUUCAUAACGUCUUGGUUCUCUGGGAUUGGUGCUUCCCCUAGCGGUGCUUCUAGGACAUAAUCUUUCUUGGCAGCUAUGAGGAUGAUCCUCAGGUUCCGGACCCAGUCCGUAUAGUUGCUGCCAUCAUCUUUCAGCUUGGUUUUCUCUAGGAACGCGUUGAAGUUGAGGACAACGUGGGCCAUUUGAUCUACAAGACAUAUUGUAAAGAUUUUAGACUAAGUUCAUGAUAAUUAAGUUCAUCUAAUCAAAUUACUCAAUGAACUCCCACUCAGAUAGACAUCCCUCUAGUCAUCUAAGUGAAACAUGAUCCGAGUUAACUAGGCCGUGUCCGAUCAUCACGUGAGACGGACUAGUCAAGAUCGGUGAACAUCUCCAUGUUGAUCGUAUCUUCUAUACGACUCAUGCUCGACCUUUCAGUCCUCCGUGUUCCGAGGCCAUGUCUGUACAUGCUAGGCUCGUCAAGUCAACCUAAGUGUAUUGCGUGUGUUCCGAGGCCAUGUCUGUACAUGCUAGGCUCGUCAACACCCGUUGUAUGCGAACGUUAGAAUCUAUCACACCCGAUCAUCACGUGGUGCUUCGAAACAACGAACCUUCGCAACGGUGCACAGUUAGGGGGAACACUUUCUUAAAAUUAUUAUAAGGGAUCAUCUUACUUACUACCGUCGUUCUAAGCAAAUAAGAUGCAAAACAUGAUAAACAUCACAUGCAAUCAAAUAGUGACAUGAUAUGGCCAAUAUCAUCUUGCUCCUUUGAUCUCCAUUUUCGGGGCACCAUGAUCAUCUUCGUCACCGGCAUGACACCAUGAUCUCCAUCAUUGUGUCUUCAUGAAGUUGUCACGCCAACGAUUACUUCUACUUCUAUGGCUAACGCGUUUAGCAAUAAAGUAAAGUAAUUUACAUGGCGUUAUUCAAUGACACGCGGGUCAUAGAAAAAAUAAAGACAACUCCUAUGGCUCCUGCCGGUUGUCAUACUCAUCGACAUGCAAUUCGUGAUUCCUAUUACAAGAAUAUGAUCAAUCUCAUACAUCACAUAUAUCAUUCAUCACAUCUUCUGGCCAUAUCACAUCACAUAGCACAUGCUGCAAAAACAAGUUAGACGUCCUCUAAUUGUUGUUGCAAGUUUUUAGGUGGCUUGUAUAGGUUUCUAGCAAGAACGUUUCUUACCUACGUAAAACCACAACGUGAUAUGCCAAUUUCUUAUUUACCCUUCAUAAGGACCCUUUUCAUCGAAUCUGUUCCGACUAAAGUGGGAGAGACAGACACCCGCUAGCCACCUUAUGCAACUAGUGCAUGUCAGUCGGUGGAACCUGUCUCACGUAAGCGUACGUGUAAGGUCGGACCGGGCCGCUUCAUCCCACAAUACCGCCGAAACAAGAUAAGACUAGUAGUGGCAAGAAAAAUUGACAACAUCUACACCCACAACUGCUUUGUGUUCUACUCGUGCAUAGUAACUACGCAUAAACCUGGCUCAUGAUGCCACUGUUGGGAUCGUAGCAGAAUUUUAAAAAUUUCCUACGCAUCACCAAGAUCCAUCUAUGGAGUAUACUAGCAACGAGGGGAAAGGAGUGCUUCUACAUACCCUUGUAGAUCGCGAGCGGAAGCGUUCCAAUGAACGGGGUUGAUGGAGUCGUACUCGCCGUGAUCCAAAUCACCGAUGACCGAGUGCCGAACGGACGGCACCUCCGCGUUCAACACACCUACGGAGCAGCAACGUCUCCUACUUCUUGAUCCAACAAGGGGGGAGGAGAGGUUGAUGGAGAUCCAGCAGCACGACGGCGUGGUGGUGGAAGUAGCGGGGAUCUCGGCAGGGCUUCGCCAAGCUUCUGCGAGAGGGAGAGGUGUUGCAGGGGGAGAGGGAGGCGCCAGGGGCUGUGGUUCUGCUGCCCUCCCUCCCCCCACUAUAUAUAGGCCCCCUGGGGGGGCGCCGGCCCUGGGAGAUCAGAUCUCCAAGGGGGGGCGGCGGCCAAGGGGGAAGGGGGGUGGCUUCCCCCCCAAGCCAAGUGGGGCGCCCCCCACCCCCAGGGUUUCCAACCCUAGGCGCAGGGGGAGGACCAUGGGGGGGGCGCCCCAGCCCACUAAGGGCUGGUUCCCUUCCCACUUCAGCCCAUGGGGCCCUCCAGGAUAGGUGGCCCCACCCGGUGGACCCCCGAGACCCUUCCGGUGGUCCCGGUACAAUACCGAUAACCCCCGAAACCUUCCCGUUGGCCGAAACUGGACUUCCUAUAUAUAAUUCUUCACCUCCGGACCAUUCCGGAACUCCUCGUGACGUCCGGGAUCUCAUCCGGGACUCCGAACAACUUUCGGGUUUCCGCAUACUAAUAUCUCUACAACCCUAGCGUCACCGAACCUUAAGUGCGUAGACCCUACGGGUUCGGGAGACAUGCAGACAUGACCGAGACGCCUCUCCGGUCAAUAACCAACAGCAGGAUAUGGAUACCCAUGUUGGCUCCCACAUGUUCCACGAUGAUCUCAUCAGAUGAACCAUGAUAUCGAGGAUUCAAUCAAUCCCGUAUACAAUUCCCUUUGUCAAUCGGUACUUUACUUGCCCGAGAUUCGAUCGUCGGUAUCCCAAUACCUUGUUCAAUAUCGUUACCGGCAAGUCACUUUACUCGUACCAUAAUGCAUGAUCCCGUGGCUAACUCCUUAGUCACAUUGAGCUCAUUAUGAUGAUGCAUUACCGAGUGGGCCCAGAGAUACCUCUCCGUCAUACGGAGUGACAAAUCCCAGUCUCGAUCCGUGUCAACCCAACAGACACUUUCAGAGAUACCCGUAGUGUACCUUUAUAGUCACCCAGUUACGUUGUGACGUUUGGUACACCCAAAGCACUCCUACGGUAUCCGGGAGUUACACGAUCUCAUGGUCUAAGGAAAAGAUACUUGACAUUGGAAAAGCUCUAGCAAACGAACUACACGAUCUUUUAUGCUAUGCUUAGGAUUGGGUCUUGUCCAUCACAUCAUUCUCCUAAUGAUGUGAUCCCGUUAUCAAUGACAUCCAAUGUCCAUAGUCAGGAAACCACGACUAUCUGUUGAUCAACGAGCUAGUCAACUAGAGGCUUACUAGGGACACGUUGUGGUCUAUGUAUUCACACAUGUAUUACGAUUUCCGGAUAACACAAUUAUAGCAUGAACAAUAGACAAUUAUCAUGAACAAAGAAAUAUAAUAAUAACCAUUUAUUAUUGCCUCUAGGGCAUAUUUCCAACAUGACGAACCCCGGGGUGCGUUUACGUGUCGAUCAUCAACACUCGCAGUUUUGACCGAUUCUGGCCUGUUUCAUGGACUAUUACUGAUUGUUUUGGUGUCCCGGACUGAUUUCCACGAUUAACGAACCCUGGGAUGCGUUUAUGUGUCGGUCAUCAACACCCGGAGUUUUGGCCGGUUCUGACCCGUUUCGUGGACUAUUACUCAUUGUUUUAGGGUCCCGGAGUGAUUUCCACGAUUGACGAACCCCAGGGUGCGUUUACGUGUCGGUCAUCAACACUCGUAGUUUUGGCCGAUUCUGGUCUGUUNNNNNNNNNNNNNNNNNNNNNNNNNNNNNNNNNNNNNNNNNNNNNNNNNNNNNNNNNNNNNNNNNNNNNNNNNNNNNNNNNNNNNNNNNNNNNNNNNNNNNNNNNNNNNNNNNNNNNNNNNNNNNNNNNNNNNNNNNNNNNNNNNNNNNNNNNNNNNNNNNNNNNNNNNNNNNNNNNNNNNNNNNNNNNNNNNNNNNNNNNNNNNNNNNNNNNNNNNNNNNNNNNNNNNNNNNNNNNNNNNNNNNNNNNNNNNNNNNNNNNNNNNNNNNNNNNNNNNNNNNNNNNNNNNNNNNNNNNNNNNNNNNNNNNNNNNNNNNNNNNNNNNNNNNNNNNNNNNNNNNNNNNNNNNNNNNNNNNNNNNNNNNNNNNNNNNNNNNNNNNNNNNNNNNNNNNNNNNNNNNNNNNNNNNNNNNNNNNNNNNNNNNNNNNNNNNNNNNNNNNNNNNNNNNNNNNNNNNNNNNNNNNNNNNNNNNNNNNNNNNNNNNNNNNNNNNNNNNNNNNNNNNNNNNNNNNNNNNNNNNNNNNNNNNNNNNNNNNNNNNNNNNNNNNNNNNNNNNNNNNNNNNNNNNNNNNNNNNNNNNNNNNNNNNNNNNNNNNNNNNNNNNNNNNNNNNNNNNNNNNNNNNNNNNNNNNNNNNNNNNNNNNNNNNNNNNNNNNNNNNNNNNNNNNNNNNNNNNNNNNNNNNNNNNNNNNNNNNNNNNNNNNNNNNNNNNNNNNNNNNNNNNNNNNNNNNNNNNNNNNNNNNNNNNNNNNNNNNNNNNNNNNNNNNNNNNNNNNNNNNNNNNNNNNNNNNNNNNNNNNNNNNNNNNNNNNNNNNNNNNNNNNNNNNNNNNNNNNNNNNNCAAGAUUGACUAACCCCGGGGUGCAUUUACGUGUCGAUCAUAAACACUCGCAGUUCUAGCCAGUUUCAUGGACUAUUACUCACUGUUUUGGGGUCCCGGAGUGAUUUCCACGAUUGACGAAUCCCGGGGUGAGUUUACGUGUCGGUCAUCAACACCAAAACAAUCAGUAAUAGUCCAUGAAAUAGGCCAGAAUCGGCCAAAACUGCCGGUGUUGAUGACGAACUUGCAAUUGGGAUGAAAAACAAAGUAUGAGGCUAGUUGCAAGUCGAGAGUGGACUUGAAACUAGGACAACUACACAAAACUACGAUACUAGUUGUGAGUCAAGGGUGGACAACCACAUGCCCAGUUGCGAGCUAAGGGUGGACUUGCAACUGAGAUGACACAAACUAUAAUCCUAGACAAAACCGUUUGUGAGUCGAGGCGGACUUGCAACUGGGAUAAUAAUAAACUACGAACCCAGUUAUGAGUCGAAAGUGUACUUGCAACUAGGAUGAAAAACAAAACACAAGCCUAGUUGCGAGUCGAGGGUGGACUUGCAACUCUGACAACUAUGAAAUUAUGAGCCCAAUUGCGAGUCAAGGGUCGACAUGCAACUACGAUGAAAAAAAUUACGAGCCUAGUUGCGAGUCAAGAGUAGACUUGCAACUUAGGUGAACACAAAACACAUGUCAAGUUGCGAGUCAAGGGUGGAGUUACAACUGGGAUGAAACAGCCCUAGUUGCGAGUCAAGGGCGGACUUGCAACUCGAACAACAACACAAAACUACGGUACCAUUUGCAAGUCGAGGGUGGAACUGCAACUGGGACAAGAACAAAAUACAAGCCCAGUUGCGAAUCGAGCGUGGCUUGCAACUAGGAUGAAAAAUAAAACACAUGCCCAGUUAUGAGUCGAGUCUGGACUUGCAACUAGGACAAUUACGAGCCCAUUUACGAGUCGAGGAUGGACAUGCAACUGGGACAACUAGAAAACUACGAACCCAGUUACGAGUCAAGGGUCGACUUGCAACUGGGAUGAAAUAAACUACGGGCCCAACUGCGAGUCAAGGGUGGAUCUGCAACUGUGAUGAAAAACAAAAACCUAGGCUCCAGUUGCGAGUCGAGUGGUGGGCUUGCAACUCGGAUAACUACAUCGCGAUCUUGAAACAACACAUGGAAACUGGCUAUCAGCACACCGCGAUAAUGGGCUGAUAAAAGCAAAGGCAAACAAACCAAUAAAAGGAUGCGUGACAACCAAACAACAACCAACGAGUCGGGGUUUCGAGGCUUAGACAUAAAUUACAUAAACUAAAUCAAACGGUGGCAAACUUAGACGUGACAUCGUUAAAAAUCAUCUAGGUGUGAUUCAAUAAUACCGUACAAAAAAUGCACGAAGCUGGAAAGGUGUUCACAAAAAAUAUAAUAUUUUUCCCAAAUUUACAAAAAUAUCUACAAAUUCCAUAUUCACAAUUUUGAAAAAAGGAAAAAAAGACAAAAUCAAAAAGAAAGAAACGAAAUGGAAAACAAACAGAAUAGAAGAAAGAAAAGAAAGAAAAACUUGACAAAGUUGCGAGGCGGGUCGACAUUUGUGGUUGCGUGUCUAGUGAUGAACAUGCAACUGAACUUCCACAAACACUUUUAUCCAUUCCACACAAAGUUAUGAUCAUAUUGAAGACGUGCAAUUGCAGUUGGAUGGCUUACAAUUGUGUGUCUAGUAGAAGACAUGAAUCUACCCUCCAAACAAAUUAUUAUUGUUUCCUAAUUUGCAGACGCGUUGAAAAUGUGCAUUUGUGGAGCAAGGACAACACUUACAAUUGCGUGUUUGAUGAUGGAUAUGCAACUCACAAUGACAAAGACAAUUCAUAUCUUUUUUAAAAAAUGCAUGAAUUUAAACACGAAAAGUAGAAAAGAAAAAAGAAAAAGAAAGAAAAUUUAAAUAAGAAAUAAGAAAAACAAGAAAAAAAGGAGAUAUGAAAAUAGACUAAGUAACUACUAGCAAACAAAAAAAGCAAAGCAAACUCGGGAGAAAAAUGCUUCUAAAAUACAAGAACACAAAUUUCAGAUUUCAGGACACAUACAGCCUACGUAGACAAAAGAUAGAGGCACACAGGAACCAGAACAUGUCCUACACGGGACACAGCGACAAUGCCAACAAUUUGCACAAAACAGGUCCAGUGCCCACAAAACAUGGUAGGAGUAUGUUGACUAUUCACCUGACAUGGUCAGGCACACUUUCAUAGUACACCUGACAUGAUGUGUGAGUGGUGCGUGCACGGGAGACAAUCCGCUCUCCAACGGCCUGUCCCGAAGAACGAAAAUGAAAAAGGUCUUGUGCGAGACAACGCCCUGAGCGCGACAGCCAGAAAACGAGCGGGGCAAACAAAAAAACUGCGUUUGCACGAAUCUUACAUAGAGUCGAGAUCCGACGGCUCAGAGAUUAGAUGUGAGAUAGCUAUUUCACAUCUAGAUGUGAAAUAGCAAAUCUGUUUAGACAAAUAUAAGACAAGAAUUUUAAGACAGGGGGAGUACGAGUUAGCACACACCCCUAAUAAAAGUCGGUUUGGAUGGCUACACAACCGUGUCGGAGUCAAAAGUCCGAUCCGAGCUAGACUAGCGAACCUCUUUGGGUCUAUAUAUUAGUCGAAGUCCAGCAUACCUACGUACGUGAAACCCUCGAUCCGCCCGGCCGUCCACCAUCGCCGGCGCUCCAAACGCGCGACCAGCACAUACACGGAUAUACGUACGUGCUGCCCCGGCCAUCGCCGGCCAAGUUCAGGCUUCCAGAUGGCGCUGAACGAGAGCCUCGCCAGGUUCCGGCUGCUGCAGGAGAGGAACCAGGCGGCUCUGUCCGCCAUCGCCGCAACCAGAACCUCAUCAUCGUCAUGCACCAAGCCGUCCCAGCAGCAACCCGCUCCAACUCCACGGCCGGCAGCCAAGCCAUCCCCGCCCGCGCCUGCCGCCGCUGUCGUCAGAUUCUCCGAUGACACGGCGCGGCUACGGAAGAUCAACGAGGUGAGGAGGUCCACCGUCGGGCACCAGAUGAAAAACGUGAUCGACCUGCUCGACAAGACGAGGGAAGCUCUUACGACGCAUCAGAUCAACCAAUGGACCUACGUCGACAUCGACGGCAACAGGACCCUCGCCGAGAGCCUGAGGAACAACCCCAAGGUGCGCUUCGACGGGCGGCGCUACUCCUACAAGCCCACGCACGACGUCAAGGCCAAAGGCGAGCUGCUGACACUGAUCAAGAGCUUCCCGGACGGCCUCCCGGCGUCCGAGGUGGAUGACGCGUAUCCAGCCGUCUUGGAAGAUCUGCAGGCCUUGAAAUCCUCGGGUGACGUCUAUCUGCUGCCGGGCGAGGGAGGCAUCAUAGCGUACCCGAACGACGACCCGAGGUCGAAGAUCGGGGUGGACACCGAGCUCAAGAAGCUGUUCCACGACAUCAAGCUCCCGCGGGAGAUGAUCGACAUCGAGAAGGAGCUCAGGAAGAACGGCGAGAGGCCGGCCACCGAUACUAUGAAGCGGCGCGCGGCGGAGCAGCUCAAUGGCCGGCAGCCCAAGCCGAAGAAGGCCAAGAAGAAGUCGCGCGGGCUCACCAGCAGGACCAAGCUCACCAACGUUCAUCUCCCGUGGCUCAUGGACCUGCCUGUGGACUCGAAGGAUAUCAUCUGAUGACUGAUGGGUGUGUAAAUCAUGUAUGGCACGUGGAUUGGAACUUCUGACUCUCUGUUGGAUUCUAUAUAUACUCUGCCGUCCCAAGAUGCACCGCCUAAGAUUUAGGACUGAUAUUCUCUACUAAAGUUAUGGUGUGUUACAACCAAAAGAUGUUAAGUGACAAAAUGAGCCAAACUCAAUUUGCCGGUGCUCUCACUGAUUACAUCGAAGGUUUCAACAGUCAAGACUGGCUAAGCCAGUCUUUAAAUUUGUGGAAUACAUGGUCGAAAAAAUGAACGCGUUACAAGAAAGAGCUUAGAUGCCGAGUACACGGCGAAGGUCGAUUGCAUCAGCAAGGCUUUGCCGGGUGGCACACGUGGCAAAACCUACUCAACAUACAUCCUAUCAACAAACUGGAGUUUGUCGUGUGUCGUUUGUCGGCACUCGGCAAAGUCUCUGCUGAGUUAAAAAAAAGACACUCGACAAACAAAAGGGGUAGGCAGAACAGGGCGAACAAUGCUGGUGCCACAUGCAGCUGGUGUUAUGCCAAGUGCAUGUUCUUUGACACUCGACAAACAUUUUGAACAUUAACAAAAAAAAAA